RNAcentral lists this long non-coding RNA (78803 nucleotides) under Medicago truncatula (barrel medic). Its description in RNAcentral is "long non-coding RNA (MTRU_LNC003247)". The stretch from base 49241 to 49330 matches the Rfam family "MIR2617 microRNA precursor family". The record is from RNAcentral. Lineage: Eukaryota; Viridiplantae; Streptophyta; Magnoliopsida; Fabales; Fabaceae.
AGGCCCAACAAGUAUCUCAAAAGAGUUAAUCAAAACAGUAAAUAUUCAUGGCAGUUCACGUAAGAGAAUGAAGCAUGUUAUAGCAUAAAACCCCAUCCCGUUACGUAUCAGAGCGACCUAGACGACACAGUGAAGGCAAGGCCACUCACGACGGCAACUGCACACUAAGCACGAUCACCUGCAAGUUACCCAUACGAAGGGCAACAUUUUCAAGCAGAAGGGGUGAGAUUUCAUAAUAAAGUAACAUUAAUCAAUGUAAUUGCGAAUCAUAAAUUAACAUCAUAAUCAUUCCAUUAUUAAUAAAUGCUAAACAGUUAUCACGUAAUCAUAUAUCUAAUUCAUUAUGAACAACGUAACAUAAUCAAUAAACACUUAUCACGUAAUCACAUAUUCAUUCAUUAUCAACAAGGCAUCUUAAUCAUGACAAUGUGACAAUGCUCCUAGACUCCUUAUAUGCAUGUGGUACCAAUCGUCAUCAUAAGUAUUAAUAUACUUUAAUCGUGCGGAGGACAAAGCUCCUAUAAAACGUGCGGAGGACAAAGCUCCUAAUAUUCGUGGUGAGGACUAAGCUCAAUGAUAUGCUAUGCAUGGACACAUAUGAACAAAACAUCGUAGUCAACUUAUCAACAUGCAUCCAAUAAUUUGGAGCUAAACUUCAUCAUAUAAUUAUGCACUUAGUUAAAUAACGGAAGCAGCAUAAACAGGUCACAUAACAAGAUGAUAUUCAUUAUAUCAAAGCACAUAAUUUGUAUCAUUAUCACAUCUUCUUAUCUUGCAUGAAUAUACAAUACAAUAGUUCAUAUUCAAUUAAUACUAAUAUAACUUAAACAACUCUACAGUCUGCAUUAAACGACAUCACUAGGUCUCAUUACCAGUUAGGGGUUCACUCUUGAUCAACAAGUGCGACACAGAUCGCAUAAACACAUAAACAAGUUCAUCCUGGUUGUACUCGCGAGGCGAGAGUACUUACUCGCCAUGGCGAGUACCACUCAACUCCCAAACUAAGGUUGUUCUGGGUUCCCUCUGAUCCUACAUUCAUUCCUAAUCAAUACUAGGAAUGCUCAGGUACUCAAAGGCAUACAAGAUUCAACUAAAAAGGUCGAAACACGAAAUAUGACAUGCACUCUGCCUAAGCUCGCGAGGCGAGGAAGGGUUGCUCGCCAUGGCGAGUUGCACCAAACAACUCGCGAGGCGAAGGGAAGGGGCUCGCGUGGCGAGCGAUGAAGUUCAUCACUCGCGAGGCGAGGAUCAUCACUCGCCGUGGCGAGCGAUGAACAGAAGCACGGGCAGACUAGGGUUUUUCUCAAAAAUCCAUCACACAACAUGGUUCAAAGCGUGGUUUUGAUUCCAGAAUUCAUCCUAAACAUAUUCUAAGGUUAAAGGACAGUUCUUUCAUCAAUCUAACAAGUUUUACCGUUUGAUCAUCAAUUUUUUUAGGGUUUUGACCUAAUUCCAAAACUUCUCUAAAUCAAUCCUAACUUUGUCAACUAAUCAUCAGAAUUACAGUAAAUAACAUUAUUGAAUUAUUAGUCUCACCCUUACCUUGAAUGAAGAAAUCGCAGCCCUCACUCUAGGUUCCUCUUCUCUUGGCUUUUUCUUCCUUUUCUCCAAAAACAGUCGUACGUACUUUAUGUUUUUCUAAACUAGGCCUAACCUUUUAUAUCUCCUCUUAAAAUACUUAUCUUAUCUCACUUUCUCCCCCAACACUAUCUAAAAUAUCAAAACAGCCCUCAACUAAAUAUUUUAUAUUAUUUUCAAAUCUUUAUUCUAUUUAACAAUAAAAUAAAUCUCAUAUCAUAAUCAAAUCCUCCAAAACUCAUAACUUAUCACGUCAUCAAUCAAAUCAUCAUAAGUCAUCAAAACAUACCAAAAUCAUGCAUAUAUUAUAUAAUUAUAAUAUAAUCACCUAAACUCGAUUAAAUAAACGAUUAAACGAAAGUGGGCGUUACAGAAUGGAAACUUUUGACAAUCAUGAUGUUGAUGUCAACUUUUCAAAGACUAAUUUUUCAAACAGUGUGGGAAAAGCUUUCGUACCGGACCAUUGGCUCGAGGAAGAGACAACGCCGAAAGGCAGGACUAGUGGUAAACAAAGUUUACUCAUCACAAAGAGCGACUACAAAAGAAAGCCUCAACAUUUUAGCCAAACUGCACCAUCUACGGUUCCAGAAAGUGGUGUUCAAAAGAGAUUGAAAUUUCACACCCCUUCGCCGACACUAAAGCCAACACAAAGUCAUUCUUCGAAAAAGAGCGCCAAACUUCGUCAAUCGGCGAAGAAUUUCAAAGGACGGCGGGAAGAAGCUACUCCAAGAAGUGCUAGGAUGAAAGGUGGGGUUACACCCAAGGUAAAAAUAAAUAAUAUUCAACUAAUGCUUUUGUUGAUUAUGUAAGAUGAUAACUAUAUAUGACUGGUGUUUUGCAUGCGUAUAACAAUCCAUGGUUUACACUGCAGGGAAAGGAAAUUGCUCUUGACACCAAGAAUGUUGCUCUUGACGAAAGAACAAAACGAGCUCUUAGGAAUGCACAUGUUUGCGCCUUCCUUUUUCAAAAAUCAUCCGAAGUUAAUUUGAUUAACGAGACACUUGUGUUGACGAUGAGUCUAACAACUACAAGGUCUGAACUUCAAUGUCUCCUCCCUGAUGUACAUAUAACUAAAUUGGUAAGAACACAGAUUACCUUGAAUUUGAGUUUGAGUUAUUUUGGCAACAUUAGGUAAACUUACAAAAUGUAUACAUUGCAAGGUCAUUGCAUUGGCAGCGGCAAGAGUAACAUGUAGACACACCUUGAGGCAGUCUGUUUGGUGCCUCCCACCAUCAUUUGCGGUUUGCCUAUAGUUUCUCUACUAUAGUGUUAAAUUUUUUAUAAGUUAUUUAAAAAGCAAAGUAGUAGCAUAAUAUGAGAUAUUAUUUUGUUUACAAAUAGUUUGAUUUCGAGGAUGGAUUAUCGUUACCACACAUAAGAGCGAAGUACCGUGGUGACUGGAUGGCCCCUUUCGCUAAAGUGUAGUUUGCAAGUAUACAAAUCAAAAAAUUUAAAAGAUUACUCGUUGUCAAUCUAUAACCACUGUGACAUCUUGUAUUACAGAUAUAUAUCCCAUUGAGGGGUGCGGAGGGUCAUUGGUUUUUGAUGGUGGUACAUGUUCCAAGCGGAAUAACGUAUCACCUUGAUUCUAACUGUCCAGCUGGACUAACCGAGGAGCAACAACAUUACAAGAUUAGAAGAAUGGUAAAUAACAUAUAAACUAUUUUAAAUAGAUACUUGCUAUUAUUCGAAAACAUUGACAUUGAAGUCCACUUUAUAUUAGGGAUUGUUGUUACAUCGCCUUGUGGAUUGUGAUGAAUACUCCACGAUCUUUCCCAAGAAGAGUCAAGAGUUUGAAAAGUUUGAAAUUGUCCGGCCUAAUUUAAUGAUCGAUGGCUGUAGUAGGUAAGAUAUUGUAAUUUUUAAAAUUAAUGAAUCAAUUAGUGUGCUUCUGUUAUGCGAUAUAAUAUAGUUGUUAUCACUGCAGCAGUGAAAACUCCGGAGUAUGGGUGUUGCACUGGCUAAGUAUGGAACAUUAUUAUAGACCGGAAAAUUUUCUUAGGAUCGUAAGUUUUAUAAAAUAUAAUAAUUAUAUAUCAUUAUUUGGUCUAAACUAAUUCCACAUUCCAUCUUUAUGUCGAUCUUUUUACUAAGCACUUUAUUUGUAGAUGGACGUGAAAUCUGUGCGGCUGAACACUGCGGUUGAAUUGUUGAUUGGGGAUGAAAAUUCCCUCCGCUAUGAAGUUUAGAAAAAGACCGAUGAAUUUUUGAAGGCCAGGAAUGAGAAGAAACCCAUUGAUCUGGAUACCGAUUAAUGGUUGUGUGUAGCUAAUCUAUCUCAUCUCCAAUCCAACCAUUUUUUUGGAGUCAAUUGUGUGGUUUGAUACGAAGAUGAGACAGAGACAAGAUUUUUUGGUUUUGGGUGCUGUUAUCACGAUUUUGGGGUAUCAAGUCAUUAAUUAGGCUUGAACCUUUCAAUCUUUGAUAUUCUCUAUUUUUUCUUGGGAAGGGCAAAAUUGAGAAAACCCUUAGAAAUUCUAAGUUCGGGGGUCGUUUUCGUUACGGGAAGGUGUUAGGAACCCGCAAUGACUAUAGUACUCUAUAGGAACCGUUUUCUUAGUUUUAUGUCUACGCUUUUUUUUUUAAUGCUAUUUAUUAAAAAGAAGUUGAUUAUGUUAAGAAUGGAGGGAGGAAAAUGUUUGAAGUUUUAUUUUAUUGGACUUGGUGAGGUUUUGACCUCUUGCCUACAUACCCUUUUAAGGGAUCAAAAUGCCAUGUAGUUCUCUUUCAAAAAAUGUUUUUGUGUGUUUGAUUGAUUUUAGUUUUUUUUGGAAAAUGAUUUUGAAGAAGAGAAAGAAGCCGUAAAGGCAUGAGAAAAAGUAGUGAAGAGUUGGUUCAAUUAUUAAAAAGAAAAUGUCUAAGUUGGAAUUAGAGUUCAUUUGAGUUUGAUUAAGAAAAUAAAAGAAGAUGCAAUGGAGUUUUGACUCCAAGGUUUAUUUGGAAAAAUUUUCAAGUGAUGGAAUUUGCUUAUUUUUUUUGGAAAAUUGACAUUUUUCUAAGUAUCGCGUUUCCUAAGCAUACAUCUAAAGCGGUAAACAUACAACGUGUGUGCGUGUCGGUGCUUGUGUCGGUGUACAUCGUUAGAGAGUCCAUUGUCCGUUACAUUGGCCCUAAUUUACAUUCUAUGGUCUUGCAAGAAAUUAAAAGGAAAUUUAAACUACCUAAAAUAUUACAUGACAUUUUAACAUAGAAAUUAAAAGAAAAAUAAUGCCUAAGCUAUGAGAAAUUGAGAUGAAAGAGGUGAGAUGCUCAUGGGAUGGAUGAAACAUGAAAUGAAAUGGUUAGUGAUAUAAGGCAUAAAAAUGGUAAACAAGGUAAACAAAAUUGAAUAAGAUAGCAAAAAAAGAAAAGAGCAAUGAAGUGAAAUAAAAUGGCAAAAUAUACCUAGAAUUUGUUAUAACACUUAGACAUGCACAUGACCUAUAAUUCUCUCAUCAUAGCAACUUUAAAGAGGUUUGAUUUUAAGCUAUAAUGUGAGGAUAACAAGGACACAUACAAGCCAAGCAUUAUAACACAUUCAUAGAAAUAUUUUACACUUCUUCUUUUGUAAAAAAACACAUAUUAUUGGCAAAAAUAAAGGAUUGAAAACACACAUCACACCAACAGUAAAACACACAUAUAAUCAGGGAUAUAUUCAUCAUGAAAUUGCACAUCGAUCAUUCACAUCACAUGCCAAAAUUUUAUGAAGAAAAUAUGGCAAGAAAUUCACAAAAUUAGACCAAAAAGAACAAAUUAAUCAAGAAAAUAUCACAUAUAUUUUUAUCAUUUUUUAACAUGUAAAAACAUCACAAAAGUAUCAAAAAUACAUCAAGAAACAUAUAGGAAUUUUUAGAAUUUUUUUGCAAGAAAAUUGGACAAGCAGGGGGUUCAGAUAGCAAGAAAUAGGGUGCAAAUAGCAGGAAAUAAGAAAAAAAUAUAUAGAAACAAACAAACUGAAAAACCAAGCCCAAAACCCAUGGAUCUGGAUGCACAGGGAGCGUUGGAUUGAUCCAGGAAGCCAAACCCUAGAUCUAAAGGUUCAGAAUGAAGGGAAAGAACCAGAAAUAAACCGGACCGGUUCAGUUGUUUAUAAAAAGGCUUAUGGACCGAUUUUUUUCAUUUCUUCCUCUCCUUUCUCUCUCUUCUCUCAUUCUAGUGAGAGAAGCUCUCACUUCUCUCCUCCCUCUCUCUCGCCGGAAACCGGAAAUGGAAGAUGAUCUUCGGCGUAAAAAAUUCUAGUGAGUGAAAACCGGAAACCGGAAAUGGAAGAUGAUCUUCUCUCAUUCUAGUGAGUGAAGUUUGUUCCUCCGGCGUGGUGGCCGGCCGCCCAAGGGUGGCGGCGCCGCCGUCAGUGGCGGAGCCAGACAAAAAUGUUUGGGGUGGCCGUUAUCCCGCCAUCAAAAUAAACUAAAAUAUAAUAUAUAAAUCAUUCAAAAUAAACCAAAAACCAAUCAUUCAAAAUUUAAACUACAUAAUAUAUAAAGUCGAUCAUUACAUACCUAAAGACGCACUUUACACUUUCGGAGUGACUUGAAAUCAUCAAUAAUUGAUUCAGAACUAAUACACUCACUAAUAUCCCUUUCAAUGUAAACUGACAUGCUAUUUGCUAAAAACCCAUGUUCCAUCUUGUUUCUCAACUUAGAUUUAAUAAUUUUCAUUGCUGAAAAAGAUCUUUCAGUUGUGGCUGUAGAAACCGGAAGAGUCAUAACAAGACGCAACAACCUAUCAAGCAACAAGUGUUUUUUGGGUUGUCCAUUGGCAGGAACGGCAGCAGCCAAACUUGAGCAUAAUUCUUGAAUAGUUGAUAAAUUUUUCAAAGUUGAUGAUUCACGAGCCUCAAAAAGGAAAUGUUUAAGAUGAAAUGGCAAAUUAAUCUUCUCCUGGUCACUAAAAUCCAUGGGAUAAUAUUUUUCAACAAGAGUACAUAUAGUGUUAAUGUCAAAAGCUUUAUAUCCAUCCUCCGGAGACAAAGCACAACUUAAAGUCAACAAAUCCAUUGCUUGCUCACUAAAUCUGCUAUUCAACUCUUGCAAUUGUUUGUCAAUGGUAGUAAAAAAAAAUUCAACUCUGAAAUAAUGUUCUAUUGUUACCUGAUUCUCUUCAAGGCGAGAACGCCCAAAUCUUGUUGUUGAAUGACAAUCAUUGAGGUCAGGAACCUCAAUAUCAUGUUUUUCACAAAAAGACACGACAUUGGCAAACAACUUAUCCCAACCAUUUUCUCUCAAAUCUUGAAUAAGAGCUUUUGUUGAACGAACCAAAAUUACAGCGUUAACAACAUCCUGAGAUUGUUUUUGCAAGGCUUGACAAAGCAAAUCUGUUGUCCCCAUAAUUUCUUUCAUCAAAUGCAAGAUAAAUAUAAAAUCAAAAGACUUUAGGUGAUUGUAAGAACUAUCAGCAUCCGCACGUUGGGCAAAUUUUUUUGCAUCUUUUGCAAUGAUUUUCAAAACUGUACAAGUUGCUUCAUACAUACUUAUCAAGCUACAAAUAGAGUUGAAAUGUGAUCCCCAACGAGUAUCUCCAGCUCUUUUCACAGUACCAACUUGGUUUUUACCUUUACCAGUUACAAUCUCCCCAGUCUCUAACAAAUUUUCGAUUUCUUUUGCUUGGGCAGCUUGUAACUCAUCAUGGCGCUUAGUAGAAGAACCAACAACAUUGACAACAAAAGUCAGCUUCUUAAAGAAUUUAUGAAUUGAUGCAACUUCUCUUGAUGCAGUAACUAAAGCAAGUUGCAACCGAUGAGCAAAACAGUGGACAUAGUAAGCAUAAGGACAAUCUUUCAUAAAAAGUGCUUGUAAACCAUUCCAUUCUCCUCUCAUAUUGCUAGCACCGUCAUACCCUUGACCACGAAUGUUAGAAACAUCAAGGUUAUGUCGAGAAAGUAUACCACAUACUGCUUCCUUAAGAGUUACGGAAGCAGUGUCAUUAACACGUGCCACAUCAAAAAAUCUCUCUUGUAUCAAACCAGCUUUAUCAACAAACCUUAACACAAGAGCCAUUUGUUCCUUUUUUGACUCAUCACGAGCUUCAUCAACGAUGAUACAAAAUUUAGAAUCACCAAUUUCUUCACAAAUAUGUUUUCUCACCCUACUAGAAAGAAUUUGCAAUAUCUCUUUUUGGAUUUGAUGUGAAGUAUAAUUGCAUUUUUCUGGAGCAUUUUUCAACACAACUUUUAAACUUCAUCAUUGUAGGAUGCUAAAAGUUUUAACAAUUCAAGAUAAUUACCUUGAUUUCUCGAUUUGUUUCCUUCACGGUGACCCCUAAAAGCACAAGCUUGAAUUGUUAACCAACGAACAGUGUCAAUUGAAGUCUUGAGACAUAGUCGAUUAUUCAGAAUUUGACUCGAACUUUGCACUUCAAUAACAUUCCUAAGAUGCCCAUCUUGAUUCAAGAAAUCUUGGCAAGCUUUCAUUGCAUUGUUGUGUGGUGAGCGAGGAUCCUUCCCUAUAUGUUUAAGAAAGGAACAAUUCUCUCCAUUCCUAACUUUCCUCCAACUUCUAAAGCCAGUAGAAAUGAAUACUUCUGAUCCGGGACGUCCACUUGGUUUGUUGCUAAAUAGAUAACAUUGUAAGCAAUAGGCAGCAUCUUCCGACGGCGAAUAUUCUAGCCACGAAGAAAACAAGCUAAACCAACUGUGUUGAAACCUCCUUUGUGCUUUCCCGAUACCGGACAUGGGAUAGUUUUCUAAGUUUGAUUGAUAAGGACCCCAUUUUAGAUAGGCUCUUCGUAUUGCAUCCUUUUGAUUUGGUGGAUAUUGGUAAAUUGGAAUACGUUUUCCUGGAUCCCUUUCUAAAGAAUUUUCAAUGUCAUCCGGAUCAACUCUAUUAAUCUUUGAAGGACGGGACUCAUUUUCUUCGAUUCUUGGAUUCUCAUGAACUUGUUCAGGUUCGGAUGAAGAAAUUAUAACUUCAUCUUUUUGAAUAUCAACGGCCUUCCUCUUGAAAAUAUAAUCGAUUCUUUGAAACUUCAUCUUAACUUUUCCACCUGUUAACAGCAAGAAUCAAACCAACAAUAAGAUUACAAUCAACAAUAGUUUGUAACAGAUCAAAGGGAUUAAGGGAACAUAAUAUUCCAAAGUCUAUUUUAACAGAAUCACAACUAACAGAGUCUCUAAAAUUGAUAAUUGAACUCAAAGUGAACCAACACUUGAAAAAACCAAUAAAUUGAACAAUCAGAGGUAACUAAAAGUGAUUAAAACCAACGAAAAUAUAGAACAAGUUAUCACAACUAACAGAUAACUUAAAUAACAUCAACAAAAAGCUAUACUUUUUCAAAACCAACAAGCAGUUAAAGAGCAUUCAAGAACAUGUAAUCAUCAGAGAAUAAUCAUAUUUGAAGGAAAAUAGAUUCAAUUUCUUAUUACCUUGCAAUUUACAAGAAUUAGGGUUUGUGGAGACUUUAGACAACAGAGAAGAUGGAUGGAGUCAUGGAGAUUGGAGAAGGAGGUGGUUGCAGCGGCGGUUGCGGGCGGUUGCGAUUCGAGCAGUGGCGGCCGCGGAAGAAGAAGAGUUUGGAUGGAGUGAUCAGCGAUUGGAAUUUGGAGAAGAAGGUGGUCGCAGUGACGCAGUGGCGAGAAGGAGGCGGUUGCAGCGGCGGUUGCGGGCGGUUGCGACUGGAGCAGUGGCGGCCGCGGAAGAAGAAGAGUUUGGAAUUGGAUGGAGUGAUCAGCGAUGGAAUUUGGAGAAGAAGAAGAGAAGUCGCGUGUGUUUGUUCUGAACAAGAGAAGUCACGUUUUUUUGUUCUGAAGAGAGAGAAAUAUGCUGACCAAAUGAAAUAUCAGUUGGAAAAUAUUAUUAAUAAGCAAGGGUAUUUUCGUAAUUUCACAAAAAAAAUGGGGUGGCUGUGGCUCCCCCUUGCUACCCCCUGGAUCCGCCACUGGCCGCCGUCGGAGUUGAGCAAACUUCUCCGAUUUUGAAAUUUUUUACAUUUUUAGAUAUCCUUUUUUGUUCUGAACACAAAUAUGGCACUGGAUUUUGCGUGCAAAGCUCGAAUCAACGUAGAUCUGAGAUUCCUUUUCGCGGUUUUGAAAGAAACUUUUUCAAGUUUUUUUUGCUUUUUUCGAAUGGAAUCUUUUAAAACUCCAUAGAUCUACACUUGAUUCGUCUUUGUUGAUGUUCUUGAGAAAGAAAGAUGAAGUUUGAGUUUUACCUGUGAUUUUCGGUUGGAGAUUUCGAAUAUGUUCUUCGGAAAACUUCGAUUUGAUUAUGUUUGUUGAUUUUCUGACUUGAAACCAAAAAUAAAUCGGUGUUCUUCUUCUUCACCGGUUCGACUUUUCUUUCCCUCUUCUUCUUCCUAAAAAAAAAAAGUCUCUGCGAUCGUGUUUGAGUUUGCCGCUUUCAGUGGUGAAUUCACACUUGAAUUGCAGAGCAACACGAUUCAAUGAUGAAGAUUCUUUGAUGAAUCUCUGAGAAUCGAAAAGAAACUGAUGAAUUUGAUGAAUUUUGUGUUGAUUUUCGGUUUUGGAAAGUUAGGGUUUUUUGUGAAUGUUCUUGAUGAUUUUCUGUUUUGAUCUAACUGAAUGGAGAGAGAAAGUUGAAAUUCUGUUUUUGGUGAUGUGUCACUGAUUCUGUGGAUCUGUGCAGAUUUAUGCUAUUUAUAGGCUGCCAUGUGUGUUUCUGGACCAAUGAGAGAAGGCCACCUAUUUUGGACUUAGGGACUUUCCUGCAAAAAUAAGAAAAUUGGAGGACCGGACUGCAAUUAAGAAAAAGGACCUAAAAAUGCAAUUUUAAAAAGUAUUGGACUAAAAUGUAAUUUUAAAAACUGUUUCAGGGACUAAAAUGUAAUUAAAAUAAAAUUGGACUAAAAUUGGUAAUUUGAAAAAAAACGUAAAGUGAAACCAAAAAUAAAAUCAACAAAAGGACUAAAAUGAACCAGUUACAAAAAUGAGGUAUUUUAAAAUACCUCUUUGCCGAAAUUUUGACAGGAAAAGACCAAAAUGCCCCUAGGGACUAAACUGACUCAAACUGACUCAGAUGCAAUUUUUGAAAUGGUUUUAAACAGAGACUCAACAAUGAUUUGCACAGACAAGUUGAAAAGACUCAGAGACAAACACAGGGACUAAAAAUGGGUUCCACUGCAGGAAAUGACCAAAAUACCCUUUUUGUAUGAUUUUUGAAAUAAAAUGCAAGAAAAGUAAUGCAAUGAUUCAGAGAGUUUUCAAAUGACUUAUGAUGCAAGGAAAGACACUUUGGAUGGUUUUAUGCAAGAAAAUCAUGCUUGAACGUACUUUGAGACAGAGACAGUAAAAUAUGCAGAUGAAAAGAGAGUAAAGGUUCAGAGUAAAACAACAGCGAAUUGACAAAUAUCAGUGUUAGAAAAGAAAUUUGAACGAGUAUUUUUAGGUCCAAAAUCAGGGUAUAACAGGUGCCAUCAUAUAUUUUGUUUUGGCUAAAGGCUCAUAUAUUUUGAUGUUCUAUUUUAUUCUAAUAUGAUUCAUGAACAAAAAUCAUGUUACUCAUGAACAAGAUUUAGUGUUACUGUGGAACAAUUAAUUAAUAUUUCAUAUUUUUAUGUCCAAAAAUUCACCUCACGUUUAAUGUACAUUUGAUUGAAAAGUAAAAAAUUGAAAACGAUCGAAUGAAUACGACAGACUGUGGCUAAAUAAUAAAAUUAAUUUAUUUACUAAAUAAACUAAUGUCUUAUAAUACCAAAAUAGACUAAGGAAAAAUUUAUUUUAUAAAUAUACUGAGGAUAUAACGUAUACUAGUAAACAUUUUAUUAUUAUUCACCUUUAUAAAUAAAAAAAACAAUCAUUUUUCUUUAGUAAAUAUAAAAUUUUAUUCCAAAUUAAUUUUUUUUGAUUCCACACGACCGUGUUAUGCUUACACACGACCGGGCGUUGCAAAUUCAACAUCUACUCAGGACCAGUUUCUUUACACACGACUGCGCGUUUUAGAUUAACAUAAAAUUCCAGUGUAUUUUCACACGAUCGUGUCAUUCAUGCACACGACCGUGCGUGUUAUAAUUUUAAGAUGACAACUUUUGAGUUUCAGGGAACUCAAACAAGAACACACACAACAACAUACUUCAAACUUCGUUCUCCUCCAUCGCUUAUCACUUUUAAUUUAAGUCAUCCUACAUUGUCAAAAAAUAUUAAAUUAGUUUAAAACAUUGAUACGAUUAUUGACAUUUCAAAAUAAUACAAUAACACUUUAAUACAUACCAUAGGAACGUUCCAGUCAUCGUUAUUAUGAUCAUAAAAUUCCUCCUCAUGAUUGGAAGUUGAAGAAUGAGUUUCUUGGUGACGGAACCGACAUGACACGCGGUUGUGUCCCUUUCCGCCACAUAUUCCACAUUUAGGCGUACUCCGUUUUUUUUUUCCGCAGUUGCACGUCUAUUUGAAGAACCGGGUGCUGCUCCACCUCUUUUUCUGAGUUGUGCGGAUUACCUAAACUUGUUCCUGUCUUCGAAAACCUAUCAAACAUCUCAUCAACUUCACCCCUGUUGUAUGAUUCCAAUUUCUCAGUGUGUUGUUCAACCAUUUCCAUGGUUUUGUGUAUAUAGUUUGGAUUGCCACACUUUAACACUGCGUUUGCCAUCCUCUUGCAACGCUCCAGAAACAUAACAUACGUAGUUACAAAUGCAGGAUCCCGGUGAGUUGAACUAUUACCAUUUUCGGCAUUGAUUACAUCUUUAGCACGUCUGGUCCAUCGUUCCAACACAACAGAUUCCGGCAAUUUUCUUAUGUUCAUUUUCACUAAAACAGCUACGAUAUGUUCACAUGGAACACCAUAUGUCUCCAAUCUCUUGCAAAAGCAUUCAAAUGUUAAUCGCUCUUGGCAAUAUGAAACAGUCCAAUGAAUGUCAUCUCUAGGGUAUUUGAAAACAAUAUAAUGAAAAAUGGAACCAUUGCAGAAAGUUCCUUCGAUUUUACAACGACAAGCUCUCUCCAAAACAGGCCUAAAUAGCUUGAAAACUGACCUUGUAUAGUUUUUUGCUGCUGAGCUCUCUAAACUUUUAUGUUGGGUUUGUAGAACGGUUUCACCAAUGGAAGAUGCAUAAUCCGCCUCUAUUUCUCUGUAUCUGACGUAACUCAGCCACCGGAUAAAAUGAUUUAAAAAAUCCACCAGAUUUGACAACACGGUAACAUAUUUUCCAAAUUCAGAAUGAAGCCCCUCACACCUUGAGGUUGUUCUAUACCCAACAUAGAAAGUACCCCGAAUGUGGGCAGUUGACCAUUGAUGCCGCUUCUCAUACAGCUCAUGAAUCCACCUGUUAUUUUCCAACUCAAAUUCAGCAACCAAAUUCACCCACCUACUUUCAAACUCUUGGAUAUCAAAAUCACCAAACAUACAUUGUUUGAACUUCGGGACAAAUUUUGGAUUUUUGAUAUUGCUUGAUGCAUUUCUUGCCAAGUGCCAGGCACACAAACGAUGAUGAGCAUGUGGAAAUACACUUCUGAUAGCAUUUCUCAAGGAUAAAUCUCCGUCAGUUAUAACCGACACCGGUGCCUUUCCGUCCAUUGCCUCAAGAAAUUGUUGCAAGAGCCACACGUAACUUACCUCAGUUUCAUCACCAACAAUUGCACUGCCGAAUAUUACACUUUGAUUGUGAUGAUUUACACCGGAAAAAAUAACUAACGAUGUAUUAUAUCUAAUUUUCCGAUAAGUAGCAUCAAAUGCCAAAACAUCUCCAAACACCUUGUAGUCCAUACGGCUAACACCAUCACACCAAAAUAAAUGUUGAAGUGUUCCAUCCUCAUUCACAGUGUGCCUCCAGUACAUCAUAUCGUCCGUCCUAGACAAUUCCUUCAAAAAUUCAACCGCUUUAUUUGCAUCAGAUGUCUUCCUCUCCCUCUCCUUGAAUUGCUCAUUGUAUAUGGUCCUUUUUGAAUAUCCAAGAUUUUUGAAUCCACCAGCUUGUGAGGCAAAAAAACCAUAAAUACGUGACGUAGGAAUGCCAGCUUUUCUCAUUGCUUUCAUUUGAAAUUUGUCAUAAUCACUCAUCUUUCUAUGUGCAGGUAGCAUCCCCUCAUACUUCUCAUCAAAAAAUGUGUGAUUAUGAAUAUCGUCAAACAUUUUUAUGUACCACCGAUUACUACCAUUGUCAACGUGUACUUGAAUUUUUGCCAUACAUCCACACCUAGUAGUUGGCUUGUGCUCUCUUUUUCUUUCACGAGUAUUGAGAUUCCUUGCAUCCCGGAGACCUUCUCUAUGGCAAACAAAGGAUUGUUGAAUAACAUCGCCAUCCUUGUUCUUAACAACGCGACUUCUUCUACCAGCAAAUCCAUGCGCACAACCGUACAUAUUGUAAAACUUGAAUGCAACUACACGAUCCGGAAAAUGGUACAUCAUAAUUUCAUCGUAGGUUAAUUCCUUGAAAUUGAUUUUCUCAAAGUUAGUCGUGCAAUCGACCGCAAAUUCAUCAUCAAAACUGCACUCAUACAUUGAAUUGAACGUGUCUUCCGUAUCAUCAUCCGAGGAACACACAACACUCUCCGAACAAGAGCCACUAUCCAAGUCCAGUAGAAUAUAACAUGGUAAAUAACUUAGUAAUUGAAAAAACAAACGAUCAUAAUUACCAUACGCUUUUCCCUAUUAUAUGCAACUUGUAUAAUAUUUUAUACAAUAACGUAAUCACUAUCACAUACCUCUGAACCUUCUUCACCUAUAUUGCCUUCCCCGGUAAUGUUGCCCAUAUUUGAAACUUGAAAAAUUUCAAGAAUUUCACUCAUAUCCAUUUUGAUGUUCCUAAUGCAUACAUAAAUUGAAUUAGACACAAUCACUUGGAUAGCCAAACACGGAAUGAAAAUAAGGUUGGGUAUACUAUUACAAGGACUUCAGGUAUGAAACCUAAGACUAGUAUUCAACAGCAAUACUUCAUCAUAUCUACCAAGCUUAUACAUACCUUCAACUAUAAAGAUUUAAUAAAUGAACCAACAACUUUAAUAAAUGUAGAUCUAGAAACCAAACUAAGUUGCAAUCUCCAAACUGCAAUGAAAUGUGAAAUAAAAUUGAACAAUGUUGUUGAGGAAGCUGAAAUUUAACUUAAUGUUUAGGUUGAUGGUGACUAACAAUUUCUGAAAAUUUGUACUUCAAUAGAGAGUGUUGUAUGUUAAUGGUACUUCAAUGUGAGAUUAAGUGAAGGAAGGAGGGAGAAAAGGAGACUAAAGUGUUACGGGUACACUGAUCUGUUUGGACCUGAGUAGUGGGUGAAUAACUUAAUUAGAAAAAAAUCUGAAAAUGAAUUAAAUUAUAUGAGAAAUUGAAUGAAUGAUGAAUGUUUAAAUAUAAAAUAUAAAAUAUGUUUUGUUGUUGUAAUAUAAUAAUAAUAAUAUUUAUUUAUAUUGUAAGUCAACGAUGAAUAUACCGUUGAUAUUGAAAUAAGAAAAUAUUAGAUUUAAUUUUAUCAGGAAAUUAAUAAUUUCGUAGGGAACUUCAACGGUACACCCACAAUUUUGAGUGUACCGGUACUCUUGUUGCACAAAAUUUAUAAAUUAACGAUCACUUUAAUGAAAUAAAAAAGUAUUUGUCAAUUUUUAUAUUUUAGAAAACAUCAUUUCAUAAGAAAAACCAUCAUUUCAUUGUUUACAAGGAUUAUAUUAAAAAAUUACAUUUUGUCAUAAAAAAUAAUCAAUAUUCAUUGUUAUGAGUAAUAAAAAUUCUUAAAAAUUAAAUUUUAUUUCGUCAAAGAUUUUGGUAAAGAAAAUUUAAUUAUCUUAGUUGUCAAUGAUAGAAAAUUAUUAUUUUUCUUCAAAAAAACAACUGAAUUAUUAUUAAUUUUACAACUUGGUGUACCGGUACACCCAAAUUCAUUGGUGUACCAUAGAAUUUGCCAAUUUUGUAUUGUACUGAAUGAAAUAAGUAUUUUGUUAAUUAUUUUUAAAAGGAAGGAUUUGUAGUAACACGACCGUGCUAUGGUUUGAAAAGGUCGUGCUUAAAGUGUGUUAUUCCUGGGUUUGAAGUAUAAUUGAUGUUGCGCACGACCGUGCUAUUAGUUGAAACGGUCGUGCCGUAACUUACUGGAAUUUGUUAUGUAAAUGUCUUUUUAAAAACUCACGCCCGUGCAUGUUAAACGCACGGUCGUGUGUAUCUAUCAGGUAGGGUUUUUUCCUGUAUUGCUUACGUGCACGGUCGUGCGUGAAUUUGGCACGGUCGUGUAUUUUCUGGCAUUAUCCAGUUUCAACAACCAUCAUUAGUACAAAAAAAAACAAUGUGUUAUGUUAACAUGCAAACAAGUUAAAGAUCAAAUAUAAUUUACAACAUAAUUAUAAUCGGAUCAUUGUUCAUAACAUACCCUAUGGAAACUUGAAAAGCUCUUAAAGGAGUACUUUCAAAAUGCAGCCAAAACAAAGCAAUAAAGUUGAAUAGGUGUAACUUUAUUAUCAUGGACUGGGGGGGGGGGGGGAUAUUGGAUGUUGAGUUGCCGCAUUGUUGCUGCAAGCAUAUGUUUGACGAGUGCAACCUCCUCAUACGUUCUGUCAACCUUCGCCUCCAUCCUUUGACGCUAAUCAUUGUCAUCUUUUGAACCCUCCGUUGGUUGUUUAUCCUCCCGGUAAUCACCCAUUUCUUCGUCUUUGGUAGGCCCCUCUUUAGGUACCCAGGAAUCUAAAUCUAUAUAAAGCCAAUUUUCCGGAAUUGUUACGUCAGUUCUCGAUGUAUCUGGCAACAAGAUUGAAUCUUCACCGAAUACCAACAAUAUAAAAUUCAUAUUGUUCCCAUCUAGAUCACUUACCAUAUGUAUCUGUUUACAGAAAUCAAUAUCAAUGGUAUAGUUUCCAUCAAUUCCAAUUUCAUGUGUUGCACUUCUUGCUCCCAGCUUCCAAGCUAUGAAACUUACCAACCCCCCCGCCACUAUCUUACCUUUGGGUUGUUCCGCCACAUAUGUCAGAUGGUCUAAUAAGUAAUAGCCCGUGUUUACAGGACAUUUAUGAACCAUAGCCCAUAGAAGGAAUAACUCAUCAGACCUCACUGUUGCAGUUUCCGGCCUACCGAAAAUGGUGCAUGCCAUUACUCUAUGCAAGUAUCGGAAAACUGGGUUUUGUAUCAUGCUGGCCUUGGCAGUUUUACAUUCAUAACGUUUUCGGCCAGUUAUUUGAAACCAAAACCCAUGUUUGUCAUAUCCUCGGUGCCUGGCAUCAUGGUUACGGGAUACAUGAAUGACCCCCGUGCUUUCAAAUCCCAUUAUAUCACUAAAUUCGGUGAGGGACAUGUUGUAUUCCACGUUGCCCAAACUAAAUGAAACAGUGUGGUUUGGGUGUGUGGUAUUGUGUGUAUCAUGAUUAAAAUUGACCGUACUCAAAAAUUCAAAUGUACUCGUUUCGAAGGUGAAAUGCGUCUCCCCCAUGAAAUCUUUCCAGCCAAUGUUACUAAUUAAUGUUGUGACAUUGUCGUCUAUACCCAAUGCCUGUAAAGCUGCUGAAUCGGGAUACCUAUUUGGUACAAUGUCUCUGUUCAAAAGCAUUUUGUACCUUUCCCUCUCAGAUUUGUUUAGAAUAAGUCCCCUCUCAUUUAGUUUAUCCUGUUUCUUCGUUUCGCAAGAAGUGCCGCCAACAUGAACACCCUUUCCCUUAGAAGCCAUUUUUCAAAAUUUCUCUUCCUGUUGAAAACAAAAAAACCAAAAUUACUAGUUAAAUUCUAAAGGGUAGUAGUAACAAUUUUGAUGGAUUAAUUGUACAAAUAUAUUAGUAUUAGUAACAACAAUUAAAAAACCACUUAUAUUUUGACUAUGGUAAAGGUUAUGGGUUCAUUUACAUACUAACACAAGAUUGAUAAGCAACCAAAAAAACCAAAAUAGUGGUAUUUUACAUUUCCUAAUAGCAAUUAAGGAGAAGCCCCUUUUCCAUUUAACAAACAUGCAGGACAAAGAACACCCAACAAAUCAGAAACUCAUUCCUACUCUUAAGAAUAACUAUAACAAAAAUAAGCCAACAAUCAUUAUGAAUAUAAUAAUUUAGCUAUUUCAACAUUCAAUAAAUAGCAUCCAAAUGCAUGCAUGAAAUUAAGUAAAAGAGAUAGAAGAAAUGGAGGUUAAUUACCUUAUACUUAGUGUAGAUCUGGACAGGUUGAGAAUGCUAGUGCUAGUGCUUGGAUGAAGAAGAAGAAUGAAGUAGAAUAACAAGAAGGUUGAGAAUAAUGAACACGUGAAAUUGAUUUGGGGGAAAGGUGUGGUUUUGUGUGUUGUCGAGAAAUCAUUAAUGAUAUAAUGAUUAGAACAUUAAUGAUUAAAAGAUUAAAUUAUUUUGUUAUAUAUGAUUAUAUUAAAUGAGAUUAGGUAUGAUUAAAAAUGAACUUAAUUAAGUUUAAAUAUAAAGGAUUCUUAUUCAAUAAUUUCAUUUAUAAUGUUAAAUGUUAUAAAUGAAAUUAAUAUUAAAGGGAUUUGCUAGAACACACCCAACCAUUUUUAUGUGGGAGUAUUUUAGCAAGUUAUAACUAAAAAGUUAAUAAAUACACCUUAAGGUGUAUGCUGCUAUAACACACCUUCUAACAAAAACAAGUGGGUGUGUUUCUAGCAAACCCCAAUAUUAAAUGAUGCCAUAGUAAAAGUUAUAUACAGGUGAAGUUGAAAAAUUAUCGAACGCGCCCCAUGUGGCUAAUUGGUAAAGAAUGUGUCCUUAGGAGGUGGAGGGUUUGGGUUCAAUUCCCACCACUGAAAACCCCUCCUUUUUUUUUUUGUUAUUCUUUUUCAUUUUGACAGGAUGUCUCCUUUUGUAAGGAUAUAGACAGGUGAAGUUGAAAACCUAACGAAUGUGCCCCAUGUGGCUAAUUGGUAACGAAUAUGUCCUUAGGAGGUGGAGGGGUUGGGUUCGAUUCUCACAACCAAAAACCUUUUUUUUUUAUUCUUUUUUAUUUUCGCAGGAAUUCUCAUUUUGGGGACCAUUGAUGUUUGGCACGGUCGUAUCAUUUUAAUGCACGAUCGUGUUUAAUAACCAGGAGUUAUAACGUUUGAUUCUAGUGAAUAUACGCACGAUCGUGCCUAAAUUUCAGGUCAAUGUUUUUUUAUUUUUUGUUUUUAUCUAAAGUUUUUAAUAUAUAUUACCAAUGACAAUAGGACAACACAUGUGGGGUACUGUUUGUUAAAAAAUUGGUUGAGUGAGGGACCAUCCAAUUUAGGGAAUCUCUGAGAUUGAAGUUGAAAGACAUAUGCAUGCCAACAUGAAAAGCAUUCAAAAAGCAAAUGAAUGUGAAUCUCUGAGAUUGAAGUUGAAAGACAUAUGCAUGCCAACAUGAAAAGCAUAAUGUGCUAUCCAAUCAAUAAAAACCUUUAACCUAUAUUAUAAAGUCAUGAUUUAUUUAUGUCAUUUUGGAAAAUAUUAGCACAAUAUUUCUAUAAAUAGUUUCAAUCACACCCUUUGAGACUUUAGUGGAAGAAAAUACUCUAGCCAAAAUACUUUCUCUCUAAACUCUAUAAGCUGUACUCCCUUUUUUUUGAAAGAAAGAAUACUCUCUCAAAAACUUGAACACCUACAAACUCUACAAGGUGUGAAUAAGUUUAGUGUGAUAGAUAUAAUUUUUUUUUCCUUCAAGAUUUUUAGUAUUUUGAUGAAGUGAAACUUAUAAUGAAAAAAACAAAUAAACUUUUAAGAAGACUAUUUUUUUUAGGAUAGAUGUUAGUUUUACAUGUUAUAAUUAAUUUUUAGGAUAGAUGUUAGUUUUAGAGUAGAUUUACAUGACUAAUUUUUUUUUAUUUUAGUAAGAAGACUAUAUGAUUUAUAAUUUUAGGGUUAUUUUUAUGAAUUUAAGAGUCAAUGUAUUACGUGCACAUCAAGUGUUUGACGAAAUGUUUGAAUAAGUUUUUUAUUGAUUGUUUUUUGUUUCUUAUUGUGUAGAUUUAAAACAAUGGCCGGGUGGAUCAACGUUCAUACGCAAUUCAACGGGGGAGAAGCUCAGAGACACAACGAUGGUGGAACACGUUUGGUAUGCGGGUGAAGUUGCUUAGAUCAACUUAAGAUAUCAUCAAAAGUUUGAUUCCACCAUAAAAUCGUCCUUAGUUAGGAUAAGGUGCAUUCCAACUACAACAAUUGUCUUCCUUUGAAUGGGGUAAUUCAAACUUGUCAAACAACAGGACUCGAGCAUUUCGCAAGUACCUCAUGUUUCUCCUUUGAAAAUAUUAAAUUCUUGUUAUGCUGGUUUAGAUGAAGGUAUUAAUUGUCAAGGAUUGAACCUCAAUUCGGUGGCACUUGAAUACCAUCAUCUAAAGCAAGCCUAACAAAAAUUUAUUCUUUUCAAAGGGAAAACAUGAAGUGCUUGGCAAAAUGCUUGAGUCCUGUUGUUUUCAAGUUUGAAUUUAUCUCAUUCAAAGGUAACACAAUUGUUGUGGUUGAAAUGCACAUUCCAACUGCAACAAUUGUCUUACUCUGGAUGGGGCAAUUCAAACUUGCCAAUCAGCAGGACCCCAAUAUUCGAUCAGCAUCUUGAACGCCAGUAUUCAAGUGUCAAGGAAUGCACCUCAUUCUUUUGACACUUGAAUACCACCGUUCAAGAUCCUGAUCGAAUACUGGAGUCCUGCUGCUUAGCAAGUUUGAAUUUGCCCCAUUCAGUGGUAAGAUGAUUGUUGCAGUUGAAAUGUAAAUUUCGGAAUGUAAUGUAAUGUCUAAUGCAAUGUAAUGUGAUAACAUAUAUUUUGUUUUCAAUGGAACAAUAAUUAUCUUAUUUAUUCACUUUUCAAAUUUAAGGACAAUGCCAAAUGUGGGAACAACAAUUCUCUAACUUUAAUAUCAAUUGAAGGACAAUGCCUGCUUGAAGGUGUUGUUGGGAGUGUUAAUAUGCAACACGAUCGUGCACUGCUUAUUUUUUCAAAACAUUAUAUUAUAGGUUAAUGUCAAUUCGUUUUUGUGACGAAAAACUACUCAUUUACUCUAUUAGACUAAAAGAAGAAAAAAAAAUUAAAAAAAAACGGCCUAAUAAGUAAUAUAUACAUGUGAACUUAAUUACUUAUCGAACGCGUCCCAUGUGGCUUAUUGGUUAAGAAUGUGUGCUUGCGAGGUGGAGGGUUUGGGUUCGAUUCCUAGAUCCAACACUUUUUUUUUAAAAUAUCAUUCAAUAAUGACACGACCGUGUCAUUAACGAACACGGUCGUGCUCGAUGUUACUUUAUCAGUUCCCAGCCAAACCGCUCUUCAUUCAAACAAACACUCUUUCAAAUUCUCUCAAAACCUAAACCUCCAUUAACCUAUCAAUCAACUUAUUUCCCAACCCAAUCUCAGUUUUUACUUCUCAAAACUUCAAUAAAUCUUAACAAAAACAACAUCAACCACCAAGUUUGCCACAUUCAUUUCCAAACCUCCACAAAACUCAUCCAAUCAUCAUAUAAAUUCCCAAAUUCGUGUGGUCAAAAAACCUAACUCAAAACCAACGAAAUUGAAGAUUAAACAAGACCCAAACACAAACCCUCAUCCCCAAACACUAAACCCAACAUAAAUUCAUCUUUCCACAACCAAAAUUUAAGGUCAAAACCCAACAAUCUUCAAAACCCAUAUUUUGUACCCUUUUGAGAAUUUAAAAAAUGGCAAGCAAGAGAAAAGAAGGUGUUGAUGACGCUUCAUCUGAUUUAAAGAGGAAAAAAGUUGUUGAUGAUGCUGGCUCUUCGGACGGAAGGAAGAAGAAGGGUAAGGCUAAUGAGCUUGGGAUUAUCCUCAAGAAAUCGGAGGAAAGGGAGAGGUACAACAAACUCGCUGCAAGGGGAAUUGCAUUCAGCAGGUAUCCCGAUAAAACAACGUUAAAUACAUUAGGUAUGAUAGAAAAUGUUAGACUUCUGGCUAAAAACAUAGGAUUGGAGAGAUUAUUAGGGCAUAUGCACUCCACAUAUAUACACACUACCCUAGAAUUCCUUAGUACGCUGUGUUUUACCAAAGAUAAAUUGAAUAUCGAUGAACCACAACACACUGUGUCAUUUAGCUUGAAUAACAUAGAGUUUAGCAUGACCCUACCUGAGUUUAACGAACGGAUGGGUUUCCCUACCACGGGAUUCAUCCAAGAUUCUCGUAACCCAAAUACUAGGCCUGAUAAUUAUGACUCUGAUGAAUUUUGGCUUAAAAUAUCCGGGAGGACAAAAUUUGUGGCUAGAUCUGCUAAAGCUAGUUCAAUCCACAACCCUGUUUUCCGCUACAUUCACUGGGUUAUGGCUUGCAGCUUAUUUGGUCGGAAGGAAACGGGUACGGUUAGGACCGAUGAACUUUUCUUUUUAUGGGCUAUGGUUAACAAGUGUCAGGUAGAUGCGGGAUACUAUCUUUUAAGCCAUAUGGCAUAUGUUGCAACACAGGAGGCUGGUCUUAUUGUGGUCGGGGGGCCAAUCGAUUACAUUGUAAGGAAGUUAGGAAUAAAAUAUUAUUCUGACCAACCUCCAAUGAAGGAUUACAAGGGAAUUGAGAUUGAUACGCUAAUUCAGAUGAAAAUGAUUAAGGAAGUAAGUGGCGGGAGGAGAGAACAAUUUCAAUUGAGGGUUGAUAAACAAGACGCGUUUCUAUUGCCAAAUCCAGAGAGGACUGACACAUCCAAUCCAGCAAAUUGGAUUUAUUCUGAUUUAGAUCCACAAGUUGCAGAAGAGCAACAUCUUGAAGACGACACACCGGCUGCUGACCAAGUGGAACAUCAACCACACCCGGUGGUUCAAGAUGACCAGGAAUGGCGUACAAGGAUAGAGGAUGAGGUUCAAGCGACAAGGUCCGAUUUUCAAGAGAUGAGACUAUGGCAGCAAAGGCAGGUUCAAGAUGACCAAGAGUGGCGUGCAAGGAUGAUGACUGAGGUUGAAGGUACAAGGUCUGAUGUUCAACAGAUCAGGCAGGAGCAGCAAAGGCAAGGACGUAUUCUUGACCUAAUGAUGCAGCGCCUUAACAUUGAUUAACCAACCUCCCAGUGGAUUGUAAUGAUGGGAGAUAUAGGUUAUUGCUUCUUAGAUCUGUUUGGUUUGGCAACAAUCGUGUCUUUCUUUUAUUUAAUUUUAACGUCUACUCUAAAACUGUUUUGUUGGUUUCAAUUUGAAAAUGCUCUUGCGAGAGUUGUAAUAGUAAUGCACUUUUAACAAAGUACUCUUUUAUUUCUGUAUAAGUUUGAUUCAAGUUUCACUGUGAACAAUGCUUUUGUAAUAUUAAUUACAAUGUUACCUAUCUAUCUCUGUGUGUGGGUUCGUAAUUUAAUUGGUAAUGUAUGAGAUUACAUAUAAAGGUUUGCCGUUGUCGUAAUCUAUGAUUGUGUUGGUUUAGUAUUCUAAACAAUUCAUACUUGUUUGUGAUAUAUAAUGGAAGUAAACAUGAAUCAUUUAAUAUUGUGUUACAACUAGAUCAUGUUCAAGCUUCAAAUGUGUGUAAUGCAGUGAGCACGACCGUGCCAAUGUUACACACGGUCGUGCAACAUCCACUUCAACUGAAAAUAUGUGCCAGUGCAUACUGACACGACCGUGUUAAACAAAGAAUGACCGUGCUUCCAUAUGACCAACAAUUUUUUUUAAAUCAGUAUUAUCAGCACGACCGUGCUCAUAAUACACACGACCGUGCUAUGUAUGCAGUUCAAAAUCUAUCUCAUAAAAACUACCCUAAACCAUCCAUAUUUACUUCCAUUAUGACAAGCACGACCGUUUCAAUAUUAAGCACGACUGUGUUUGUGAUAAAAACUUUAAAACCAACAAAUCACCAGUGAGUUUAGGCACGGUCGUGCAAUAAAUAAGCACGACCGUGCACUAUACCAGAAAACAAAAAAAUCAACAAAUCACCAUUAUUGGCUUCUUACUCACUUUCAUUUACCAAAAACUUACUCAGACAAUAAUAAUUUAUUCUUUCGGUUAUGCUAUCUAACACUCUUUUAUUAGUCAACAACAAUACUAUACGACACCCAACCAUAUAGCAUAAUAAAACAUUUAAAAUGAUAAACUAAAUUUUAUUCAUACCUUUAAAACGUAAAUGAAUCAAGAUCUAUAAACCAAACUAAGCAGAAAACUCCAGAUCAAUAAACGAGACUGAAAUAAUGUUGCACAAUUUUGUUAAUGAAGAAGAACUUUAAGUUAAGCACAAAGGAGAAAGGAUGUCUGGAAAUGUCAAAAAUAUGGGUGGCUAUGGAGAUGAAGAAGAAUGUUAAGCAUGAAGGAACCAGACGACGACAAGAAUAUGAAUAGCAAAUACUAUUAAUAAAUUCAUCUAAAGAAGACCCAGGGCUAAGCCGCCGUGCUUCCACCGUAUCCCUUGUUUUGUUCGGCGAUUUGGACUCCAAGAUCAAUUUGUCUUAUCAUUCAACCUACUCAUUAUUCAUGUGGCGUUGCUUCAUAUGUUAAUAUGGGUUAGAUCUCUCCAUCGAUUGUUUUCCCCUUCACAUAUAGUAUUCUUUGUGCAUCUUCUCCAUCUUGCCACAGUAAUUCCAAUUGAAUUAGGAAUUUAGUACUUUUAUAUCAAAAAGUAGGAUACAUCCUUUGAAUUCAAGAAUUUGAUCUUUUUGGUAGAACGUGUAUUUUUAUGAUUGCCUUCUCUCCUAGGGUUAGUAGCAUCGCCGCUGUUCAUCCCUCGUGAGUGUGUUGUUGUGGUUCGGUAGGUCAUGUCUUACCUGAACAUUUGCUCUGCUUUAUGCCAUUCCUGUGAUAAUGUUCCUUAUAUGAGUCCUUCAUCAUCAAUUUGUUUCUUCUAUAAGGCCUGCCAAAGAAUAUGAGCCUAGUGGCGUGGAAUUGUCGGGGUGUAGGUAGCCCGAGUACAAUUCCCGACCUUAAGUACCUAGUUCGGCAUUUCAAUCCGGACCUUUUAUUUUUAAGUGAGACUCUAGCUCACCGAAAUAAAAUUGAUGAACUUCGUUUUCUGCUUGGCUACGAUUGUUGUUUUCCUGUAGACCGCACCGGUAGAGGCGGGGGUCUUGCAUUAUUUUGGCGUAAUUCUUUACAUUGUCAACUUGUUGAUUUUUCGAGUAAUCAUAUUACUGUUGAGAUAAAUGAUAUUGUUCUUGGUACUUGGAGACUUACCGGCUAUUAUGGCUAUCCUAAUGGAGGUCGUACAACUACCGCUUGGAAUUUUCUUCGACAACUUUCUCAUCAAUUUACAGGUCCUUGGUGUAUCUUUGGCGAUUUUGAUGAUAUCCUUGAUGCAAGUGAGAAAAGGGGGCGCACCACUAGACCUCCGUGGCUUAUAAACGGGUUUCGUCAAGCUGUUAUUGAUUCAGGUUUGUCUGAUGUUCCAAUUGAAGGUUAUCCAUUUACUUGGUUCAAAAGUCUAGGCACUCCGCGUGCCGUGGAAGAAAGAUUAGAUCGUGCGCUUGCUAACAAUUUGUGGUUUAAUAACUUUCCGAAUGCUACUGUUGAAACUUGGUAGCACCUGCUUCUGAUCAUUAUCCCAUAUAUGUAAAUGUUGCUCCUACUCCUCGGCCUCAUGUCUCUAAACGUCAUUUUCGUUACGAAAAUGCAUGGCAUCUUGAACCGGGUUUUAAGGAUCUUGUUACUAACUCUUGGCAGGAAUAUUCUACCCAUACUAUUAUUCCGAAGCUUUCCUCUUGCGCGGAAGACAUGUCUGUUUGGAAAAAAUCACAUUGUCAUAAGUUAAAAACUGAUAUUGAAGAUUGUCGUAAACAAUUGCAGGAAACUCGGUUAGGAUCUGCUGGCGAGGACCAAGUUCGCAUGUUCGAGCUAAGGAAAAGAAUGCAACGGCUGCUGUCCCAAGAUGAUGCUUAUUGGCGUCAACGCGCAAAAACCCAUUGGUAUAAGGAUGGCGACCGUAAUACCAAGUUUUUUCACGCUUCGGCUACGGCUCGAAAGAAGGUAAAUCGUAUAACUUCUCUUGAUGAUGAUGCGGGUAAUAAAAUUACUAAUGAGCAGGAUAUGCAAGAAGUGGCAAGACAAUAUUUUGUAAAUAUUUUUCAACAACAUAAUAGUGAUUCUUCUUCCGUUAUUGAUGUUAUUAAUCCGUCUAUUUCUGAUAAUGACAAUGAAAUGCUCACGGCCCCUUUCUCUAAGGCAGAGUUUAAGGAUGCUAUUUUCUCUAUGCAUCCAGAUAAGUGUUCAGGCCCAGAUGGCUUCAAUCCGGGUUUUUACCAGCACUUUUGGAAUUUAUGUAGUGAUGAUAUUUUUAAAGAAUGCUAUGGUUGGUUAGAUACGGGACAAUUUCCCCCUGAUUUGAAUAUUACUAACAUUGCCCUUAUCCCAAAAGGUUCUAAGCAGGUUAGCAUGAAGGACUAGCGCCCUAUAACACUUUGUAAUGUGUUAUACAAAAUCAUUUCGAAAGUGUUAGCAAAUCGGUUGAAGAAAGUGCUGCCUAAAUGCAUUUCCGACAAUCAAUCCGCCUUCGUCCCAGAACGCUCGAUUUUAGAUAAUGCUAUGGUAGCAAUUGAGGUUUUACAUUUUAUGAAAGCCAAGACGCGAGGGGAAGACAGGUAUGUUUCUCUAAAACUUGAUAUUAGCAAAGCCUAUGAUCGUAUGGACUGGAAUUAUUUGAGGGCUGUUUUGAAUAAGAUGGGUUUUCAUAACCGUUGGAUUCAUUGGAUGUGUAUGUGCGUCGAAUCAGUGGAUUAUUCUGUGCUUGUAAAUGGUACACAGGUCGGUCCUAUUAUUCCAGGGCGGGUUCUUCGUCAAGGGGAUCCUCUCUCUCCGUACUUGUUUAUUAUUUGUGUAGAAGGUUUAUCUUCGCUUAUCAGAGAUGCCGAGACAAGAGGUGUCCUCACUGGUACAAAGGUUUGUCGUCAAGCACCGUCAGUUUCUCAUCUUUUAUUCGCUGAUGAUUGUUUUCUCUUUUUCAAAGCUAACGAGGAUCAAGCACAUGUUAUGAAGCAUAUUCUAUCCACUUAUGAAUUAGCUUCUGGUCAAGCGAUUAGUUUACUAAAGUCUGAAAUAUAUUGCAGUCGUAAUGUUCCUGAUGACCUCAAAGCUAACAUUACAGAUAUUCUAGGCGUCCAACUUGUGUUGGGCACAGGUAAAUAUUUGGGCUUACCUUCUAUGAUAGGUCGCGAUCGAAAUGCUACUUUUGCUUACAUCAAGGAUCGUGUUUGGUAGAAAAUCAAUUCCUGGAGUGGUAAGUGUCUCUCUAAAGCAGGUCGAGAGGUCAUGAUAAAAUCUGUUUUGCAGGCUAUUCCUUCUUAUGUGAUGAGUAUCUUUCAGCUUCCCACUACCUUACUAGACUCCAUUGAAAAGAUGAUGAGCUCCUUCUGGUGGGGCAACGGUAAAACAACACAAAGAGGGAUUCAAUGGAUGAAUUGGGAGAAGCAUUCAGCACCAAAGAUUCACGGAGGUAUGGUUUUCAAGGACUUAUCUGCUUUUAAUUUGGCUAUGUUAGGUAAACAGGGAUGGAAAUUUAUUACAGAACCAGAUUCUCUGGUGUCUCGAAUUUUUAAAGCUCGUUACUUCCCCUCUGGCUCCUAUCUCACGGCCACUGUUGGGCACAACCCCAGCUAUGUUUGGCGCAGCAUCCUGCGUGCUAGAUUUAUUGUGCGUGGGGGCGCUAGAUGGAGUGUAGGCUCAGGCGCGGCUAUUCCUAUUCUUAAUGAACCAUGGCUGCCAAAUGGGGAGUUUAUUAGUAGUGAUAUUCCAGGUGCUCACUUUGUUCAUAAUUUUACUGUUAACAGCUUGAUGAAUUUAUAUGAUAAAACCUGGAAUGAACAGGUGGUUAGACAAGUUUUUAGUGAUGAUAUAGCCCACAAAAUACUACAUACGCCAUUGAUUUCUCAGGUUGACGAGGAUAUAAUUCUAUGGAAAGCGGAAAGGCACGGACGUUACUCUGUUCGUAGUGCUUAUAGGUUAUGUAGUGUAUCAGAACUGAUUGAUUCAUCUUAUAACUGGCGACCAGGGUAUUGGUUUGGUAUUUGGAAUCUAAAAGUCCCACCGAAAGUCAAGAAUUUAAUUUGGCGCAUGUGUCGGGGUUGUUUACCGACUCGUGUCCGUUUGUUGGAUAAAGGUGUUAAUUGCCCAACUAAUUGCGCUAGUUGUGCCUCCAAUCAUGAAGAUCUUAUGCAUGUUUUCUUUGCUUGUCCUUUUGCUAUACAGGUUUGGAAUAGAACAGGUCUUUGGGGUUCGGUGCAACACGCCCUUUCUACCACUGCCUCAGCUUCAGAAGCUAUAUUUUCUCUGUUAGAGACUUUGUCGGUUGAAUUAAAACAACGUAUGUCAUCUGUAUUAUGGAGUAUAUGGAACCACCGUAAUCUCAGAGUGUGGGAUGAUGUAACAGAAACAAGUGCCGCGGUUGUCGAGCGUGCUAGAAACAUGCUUGCAGACUGGCAACUGGCUAAUGCUCCGGAUGUUCUUGUAUCUAGAUCGAAUCAUCAACCAACAACGGCCUCCACCUCUCAACAACACCGAAUCACGUGGCAGCCUCCUGUGGCCGGAAGAUACAAAUGUAACAUCGAUGCGGCCUUCUCUUCUCACGACAACCGUACAGGUAUUGGUAUUUGUGUUCGCGAUGCAGAAGGUACGUUUGUUCUGGCUAAGACUAUGACAUACCCUUGUACUGUUCCGGUGGAAGUGGGUGAAGCUUUAGGGCUGCACUCUGCUUUGCAAUGGUUGAGUGAUAUGCAGUUUGACAAUGUGGAUUUCGAAACAGACUCUAAGUUGACAGCUGAAGCCUUCCUUUCUACUAGAAACGACUUGUCCGAAUUUGGAUGCAUUAUUUCCUCCUGUCGUUCUUUGUUCAGUACUUUCUUUUCUAACUCUAGGGUGGAGUUUGUUAGGCGACAAGCCAACGUGGUUGCUCAUGCUCUUGCAAGGGAGGCCACGUCUUUAGCUAGUCCCGCCGUUUAUUUUAAUAUACCCAAUUGUAUUGAAACUCUUAUUAUAAAUGAAAUGCUAUAAGCAUGUUUUCCUUCAAAAAAAAAAAUGUUAAGCAUGAAGGAGAAGGGAAACAAAGCUAAAAAUGAUAUAUUCUGGUGUGUCACUAGUGAAAAGAGUUGAAUUACUACUCUCCAUGUUUCAAUUUUAGUAGGGGGUGUAAAAGUUAUUGCUGAUAACUGGUUGCUUUUUAGGGGGGUGUGAGCAGCAGAAACAAUAAAUGAAUAUUUUACAAUAUAAUAUGUUUCAUUAAAAUAUUCCAGCAGGUAUGAAACCGCCAGCUGUCCUUCCAUGGGAAAAUUGUGCAUGGUGCACAAAUCUAUCAUUUGUGCAUACUAAAUGCCACCACCAUUUAUACAAUGACAUCAUAAGUUCAGUCCUCUCAUAACAUAAUUUCUUAUUCUUUCUUAUCUAAACCAAAAUUUUGAGGAAGAAAACAACAUAAAAAAAAAAAAAAAAAAAAACACAUAAAAGAAACCUCGCCAUAAGUAAAAUUGUCAAAAUUUGUUACCCCAAGAAUGCAUGAUGUUUAGUCAAUCUGUCGAGUUAGAAGUAACAAAUAAAUGUCAAUAACUGUAAAACUGCCUCCUUAACAGGGAACUAUACAAUUCAAACUGAAAAGUAACUGUUAGACUGAAUUGAAUCUUUUGCCUCGGAUCCUUAACUUAUGUCCCUAAAUACUACUUCAUUAAUGUCAUUCUAGGCUCCCUAGUGUUUCUUUUUGUUAAUAUGCUUUUGAGAUUUGUUUAUCCCUAAUCACAAGACAUUAAUUAAAGAAUGUUACGUAAACCAAUGAAGUAAAAGCACAAAGUUUCUAUUCAAAGGUUCAAGUUCAACCAAGCAUGCACACACAUAGUAUAUAUUAAUUGGUAUAUUCCUUAUCCCGUUUUCAUUAGUUUUCCAAUGUUUUCAUUUUCUUCCACGUGAUUCACUUUAAUUUCAAUCUUCUUUUACUUUCCAUGCAACAAAAUUGAAGAAAAGGGAAAGAAAGAAAGUACUAUAAUACAAAGAGGGGGAAAGGUUCAAAGUGCAAUCCUACAAAGAUCAACGAUGAGAAGGGACAUGCACAUACAUUAAACUAUACAAGUGUUACUUAAGAAUCAUUCCUUUGAUUAUUAUUUUAGGAUAUCAUCAUAAUUUUAAAUUUAUUUUGAAAUAAAUAAAAUUAGAGGUCUUAGCACAUAUAGCAAUAUGCAGCCAUUUAUUAACAAUUAUAUUAGAGGUCUUUUUAUCGCCAUUUUUUCAACUAAUCAUUCUAUGAGUGGGAGAUCCAUCCCGUCAUGUGCUAGAUUCGAUAUAGUCUUGUGGAAGUGUUUGUAUUCGGCCUCGAUGGAUUUAGGUUGUUUAGCAUCAUAUCAUGUGGUUCGUGGCCGCCUAAUAUUUGGGGAUUCUCUGAGUUAAAUAUUUCUGGUAUUUAAUCCGCUCCUCUUGUAUGAUUUUCUUCUAUUAUAUAUAGGAGAAUGCUAACCAGUGCCACAAGGGUAUUGGUUAAACAUUCAAAACAAGUAAGUUUUUAUGAAAAAGUUGUGCAAUAAUUAUUUGAUCAAAACCAAUAUCUUAUAUUUCCAAGACAAAAUUUCUAUUUGUAGAUUCCUUAACCAUUGCUCUGAGGCACUGUUUAGCAAGACCCUUUUAUAUAUAUAGGCAUCAACAAUAUUUGGCUUCCUAAGUAAGGUAUUUCACAACAUUUUCAAAGAAAUUUGUACAAGGGCACGAAGGUUGUUAAAAUCGCGAUCUAACACCCAAGAUCGUACGAUCUUGCGAUUCCGAUGGCCAUCACCGAUCUGAAGCGGUUAGGAGAUCGGAAACGAUAGCGGAGCGGACGGCGCGCCGAGGAAAAUCGGAAGAUUGCAAAAUCAGCGCUCUUCUGCAUUUUCUGCAAUGGUUUUCGACCCGGUUCAGAGGUUGAUGGCCCGACCCGGAUUUGUGCCUUUGAUAACUACGAUUAGCAAUAUAACUACGAUUAGCAUUAUAGCAAUUGAGAGAAUAUGACAUGAUAUAUUAUGCUAAAGAAAGAGUUGUGUGAGGGGGUAAUAAAUAAUUAAUGAUAACAAAGGUGGUGAAAAUAAUCUGUUUGUAGUUGGUCUGAAAAGGGAAAAGACAGAACUUUGGGUGAAACCCCAAAAACAGCAACACAUAACAUAAUAUAAUUAUAUCACACAGUGGUCCACUCCAUUUCAUCACUGACUGACACUCCCAAUCCAUCAAAGUGUUAGUCCAACCUCAGUAGUAUCACUGAUCAAUAUGACUCUCUCUCUCUCUCUUUCUCUGUGCAAUAUCUAUGGCAAAUGCAAAGUUAUCAACAGUAGAAUCUGUGACUGCCCUUGUCUGCAUGUCUGUCUCUCAUCUGCAGUCACUGAAUACUCUUGACUACCGUCCUUAACCUUCGUCACUCUCUCACUCUCACUAUCACAUGAAAAAUAAAGUAUCAUCUAAAAGAAAACCUCCUUUAUUUUCAUAACACUGCCACUUCUUGCAUUUAAUGCAAGAACCUUAGCUUUCAUUUCACUGUUUGUCUCCAUCUUCUUCUCACACUCCUUUUCUCUCACUCAUACUCACAUAACAGACAAAACUUCACUUCAUUCUAAUAAUAUAAUAUACUCCAUUCAUGCAUUAAUCAUUCAUUCAUAUCUUAUAGUCAUCUCUAUCAAAAACAAAUUAACUCACUGUAGCUGACGAACUAGCUCACUCUAAAUCUCUAUUAGACGUACCUGAGAAAUAUCGGGUUUGAUUCUGAGGGGGAAUAAUACUUGGCCAGUGCGCAUGCCUCUACGCAUGAGUUGGAUUAGUCGCUUAUCUUUGGUAGGUCAGAAAUCGAUGCGAAAGCAAAAAAAAAAAAAAAAUCUCUAUAGUUAAAGUUGGAUUCUCAUAGUCAUCAAUUGUACAUAUUCAUGCAACAUAAUAUUCUAGCAGUCAAUAUAUUGUUGGCAGUUACAUCAAGAUUGUUCAAAUUUUAAAGGGGACUAAAGUUUUUAAAAUAUACAAAUACUAAAUUUAAAAUCCAACAAUGAUCGAUGUGUUAAUUGUGUAAACAUGUGAAAUGUAGAGAAUUAGAAAUCGUAUUAGUCAAGAUUUCAAAUCCGUUAUAAUCUUACAUAAGAGUCAUAGCUGAUGCCUGAUAGCAUGAUAUAACGUGUUUUUCGGAAUUAAAACCAUGGUAUUAGUUAUUAUAGAUUAAAAACCAAAAACCAUUCGAUCAAUGUUAUCAUUAUCAUCAUCAUCUUCAUAAUUUUCAUCUCCUUCAAAUUCCUCAUCAUAUUCAUCACCUAACAACACUUCUUGAUCUUCACAACUCUCGACGGUGUGUGGAGCAUGACCAUCACCGAAAGCACGAACAUGAUCUUUAAGAGAUCUCUUGUGUUUGAAAUCAGAUCCACAGAUACAAAACCAAAGCUUUCCACAGUUUUUCUCAUGUGUUCUCCAGUCACCUCUAACUGCAAAUGGUUUCCCACACUUUCUACACCCAAAUGGCUUUGCUCCAUGCUUCCUCUUGUAGUGUGUUUGAAGUGUUCUGAAAUCCUUGAGUGGCCUUGACCUUGGAUGCUCUAUGUUGUUCUUGCAUCCCUCUGCACAGCAAUAGCAAGGAAGUCUUAACAUUGAUGAAGCUGGUUUUACUCCUCUUAGAGAUUCUGGUCCUUUUCUGUAUUGUGAUCCAUGUCCCCACAUAUGCAUCUGAUAUAUACAUAAAUGCAUUACAUUCAAAUAGUUCUUUAUAGUUAAGUGCAAAAGAAAAUGACAAAAUUUUGUGCUUGGAUCUGUUAUCUUCUAGGUUUGUAUUUCUUUGUUAACAAAUUAAUGAGUCUUCUAGGUUUUUAUCUUAUAGUAUGCAUUAGGACAUGGAAAGAGUAUUAACAAAUUUUCUGGUGCUAACAAAUUAUCCAGUUCUUGACAAAUUUUAUGGUUCUUAACAAAUUAACCAAUAACCACUAAUAUUUGUCUAUAACAAAAUUGUUAAUGAUUUGAGAUGGUAUUAGGUAAUGACAAAAAAAAAUAAAAAAAUUCACUUAUUAAUUCUGUAAUAAAUGCUUAUGAAUGUACCUUGAACUACUACUAGCUAGGCAAUAGACAGUUUAGGCAUUGUAUAUGCUACAGUGUGAAAGGUUACAUGUUGACUAACCUGCAUAUUAUUGAAACGGUUGAACAUUUUAUUGCACACUGUGCAAGAGAACUGUGUUGGUCCAAUGAGGAUUUGAGCAGGUGAAGGAAUCCAAUAUUGACCUUGAAUUGGAGCUGAAGCCAAAUGAUGAUCAGGUUUACUAAUAGGUGUUAUGUUUUGUGAAAUGUUUGAUGGAAGACCAAUGUGAAGUGCAACUGUUACACCACUUUGCUCAUCAUCAAUGGUAAAGUUUUGGUUUUGGAGGUGAUUAUGAUGAUGAUGAUGUUGAUGAUGAAGUUUAGGUUUGUGGUGUGUACCAGGAGGGCCAAGUGAGAGUGAAAUGGAAGACUCAUCAACAGUGUCAUUAUUAGUUUGAAUUGAGGAUAUGUAGGAGAAUGUGUGAGCUUGCAUGGUGAAAAUUAUGGUUGAUGGGAUGGUGUAUGUAUAUUAUAGGAGAGAGUAGGGUUAGAGAGUGAGAGAGACAGAGAGAGAGUUUUUUGAGUUAGCUUUGUUAUGUGAGAUUGGAAGUGGGGACGAGAAAGGCAAUAUAUAAAUAAACAAACCUUGUGGAUGGAUCCAUGUUUUUUGGCUUUUGUCAUUCUAUGUGUCAGGUUAAUUGAAUAAAAGAGAUGAUUUCUCAUUCUUUAACAAUAUUGGAAAACACUCAAUUUUCAUAUUUGUAGAAGAUAUGAUGAUAACGAGUGAUCUAUAGUGAUAUUCAUCAAUUGUAUACUUCUUAUUUUAAAAGUUAAUUUUGUAAGGUUGUGUUAGACUUAGAAAAAUACGUCUCGUGACCUUAGCUCAGUUGGUAAGAACAAUACAUAAUAUAUGCAAGGUCUGGGGUUUAAUCUUGGCCACCAUAAAAAAAAAAAAAAAAUCAUAGAAUAAUGCAAACCUUAUAUUACAAUGAGGUAAAGAUUUUAUUUUAGUUUUUUAAAUCAGGUGUCCUCCGCACGUGCAACUGUCGAUACUAAUCUCUCGAGUUUGUGGGAUUUAAAUAGACGGAAAAUUCUCCCUAAAAGUUUUAACGCUACUGCAUAUCCAAGACUGAAUUUGAACUGAGAACCUUAGCUAAGUUAGAAGAGACUGACAUCUCAUCUAAACAUUUUUAGUUCAAGAACUUGUUUAAUUUUUUUUUUUAAAUAGUUUAGAGACCUAUGGAUUAAUGAGUUAAAUAAGUAAAUAGUCCCUCUAAAUAUAUCAACAUUUGAUUUUAGUCCCUCUAAAAUAUUUUUUAGGUUUUUGGUCCCUUUAAAAUUUCUCAUCUAUGAAAUUAGUCCCUGCGCUAUUGUAAUACUCAAUGUAGAGCUGAGACUAAUUUCAUAAAUGAAAAAUUUUAGAGGGACCAAAAACUUAAAAAAUAUUUUAAGGGGACUAAAAUCAAAUGUUAGUAUAUUUAGGGGGACCAUUUACUUAUUUAACUCUAGAUUAAUUAAACUUAUUUUUAACGGCGACAUAACUAUGUUACAAACAAUUUAAUAAGUGAGAUUAUCUUAUUAUUAUCUAAAUGCAUACUUAAUUAAUACUUUAAUAAGAUGAAGAUGAUACUACUUGUUUGAUGCGUUAUUGUUGGAGUAUGAGAGUAUAAUAUAGUUUUUGAAAUGAAGAAAAGAGGGGGCAAGAGUGCGCACGUGGAAUUAGGAAAAGAUUGGUGAUGUAAUUGUGUUUUGGCGUGUUUGGUAAUGGAAGAGACAUUGCACCGGCAAAGGAGGAAAGAGUGAGAGAUGAAGCAAUGCAUGCAUAGAACACAACACCAAUAUACGACACUAGCAGUACCACUGCCACUCCUUGUGUUAUGCUAUGCUGCUACACCUCUUUCUCUAACACACACUCCAGCUCUCUCUGUACUAUACCACCAAGAUAAUUGUUAGGGUGAAAAGGUGUUUCAUAGAUUCCAUGCCUUAUGAAGUUACUGUAUGGAUGAUCUCACCCUAUUCAUGAAAAUCAAUAUAUUAUAGGUGCUUCGUCAUUGCAAUUAGGCGUCAUUUAAAAAUUAGUCCAUGUAAUCGCUAAUCGGGGCAAUUUACCCUUACAUUGUUUAAUCAUUUAAAAUUUCAUCCUUUGACCAACUUAAUCACUACCAAGUCAUCAAAUUAGCAAAAUGACAUGGGAAUUGACAAAAAUACCCUCGUCUUUAUUAUGAGAAGAAGAUGAAGACACGGGUAAAAAUGUCAUUUCACGAAUGGAUGACGAGGGUAUUUUUAUUUGACUGUUAUAUGUUUGAUUUCUUUCAAUGUUUCUGAUUCUCUAUAUAAUCUACUGCUUAUUAAUGUUGGCACACUGUGGGGAGCUCGGGGGACCGUCCACAUCUGCUUCUCUAUAUUCUCUAUAUACUCUUACCCAAAACCUUAAGGCAAUGGAUUCAACCUUUAUUAUUUUUAUCUGAUGUGAGACAUAUAACCCACACAUGCAAACCAACAAUUAAUACUUAAAAAUAUUUAAAUUAGCAAGGACAAUUAAUCUUUUGAAUUUUAGGUUAAAAAAUUAGAGAAAUUGUCAAUUGAUUGACGUUGAUUAAACACAAAUAAUAAAAUCAUUGGGCUUUGAAUAUUAAUCCUCCAUAAAUGAUAUGGGAUAUUUAUCCGUUGCUGUGCCCUAAUGCAUGUGCUUAAUGAGUUCGUUAAAAAUUCAUCUUUGCUCUCUGAAUAUUUUUCAGUAAGCAUUUACUAUCUAUCUCUCUUUGAUAUUAAUGUACACUUUAUAUUGACACUCAAAAAGUGAGAGUGAGUGGGAGAUGGCAUUGGCACAGUCCCUUUCAAUCUCAGAGACACAAAUUAGAAUCGUUGAUUAUAUAUCUAAACGUGAAGCACGGACAUUCCUCGGAUUAGAUUAGAUGUGUCCCGUGUUGGACACAUGUCAGAUAUGUGUCGUAUCCGACACGGACACUGAUACUGACCCUUGUAAUUAUACUGAAUCAUGUGAUUUUUUAAAUUAUUAGCUGUGUCGGUGUGUCAAUAUCCGUGUCGUAUCCGGUGUCCAUAUCCACAUCCCUGCUUCAUAGAUUUAAACACAGCCACAGGAAGUAGACAUGGAGAACUGUAGAAGCUAGAGGCGUGUGUGUCUCUCUCCCAUCCCCCCUUUCGAUGACUUUGUUAUUACCAAAUGGGAUAGAGAUAGUGAGAGACAUUGAUGUUGAUAGUGAUAGGAAUGCUUAAUGCAAAAGAAGUUCGUAGUUGCACUGUUUUAAUUAUUUCAUUGUAAUUAAUUAUGGAAGAAUUUAAAUGAAGUAUGCUUGGAUUUUUCUAAUUUGGUGGUAACCCACUGAUUCUCCGCGGAAAGGGUGCACAGAAAAUUUAAAGUUUAACCGUAAGGUAAGUAUAGAUAAACUAAGUAUUCUUCCACGUGAGAAUCCUACUCGGAUUUUUUCAAAUAUUUUGUUAUUUGGUGAAGUGACCAAUCAUUUGAAUCUAAUCACAUGUUUUAAUGAGGCUUAUAUCAUUUGGAGACUGAAUACUGAAUAUUUAACAAAAAAAAUUGAAACAAAAGUGACAAUCUAGGAACAGAAGGUGUAUAACUUUUUCGUCCAGAAAAUAAAAAAACUUUUCCUUAACAUACAUUUUGAAAAUUCACAUAGCCUAUUCAAUGUAAUCUUUGAAAAUGCUGAGAAUCUUUGCCUAAGUACAGUCACGGGAUAGAAAUGGAGAAAUUCUCAAUGUUGAAAAAAAAGUCAGAAAAAUAUGGGAUGAUUCUUUGUCUUGCCUACUCAAUUCAUUAAUGCAACUAUGCAAACACACUACGUGAACAGUAUAUUAUUCAAGCACUUUUCACGUUGAAAACGAAAAAUGUAAUACUCCUUUAUUUUAAAUUAGGGUUUUGCUAACCAAUGUCUUAAGAGCAAUCGUUAAACAUUUCAUUUUUCAUCAAUUUACAAUGUAUAAUUCUAUAUGAAUCUUCUUAACUAGUGCAUUUAGGACACUAGCAGUUCACUAAAACUAUUUGUAUUUCUAAAUACUUGUAAAAUAUCUUGUAAUUUAGGAUGAAUGAUGACCACAACAAAUUAAAAGAAGGCUUAAUAGUAGUUUUAGCCCUCUAACUUUUCUAAAGUUGCGAUUUUGGCACCCUAAAAAAAAAACUACAAAACCGUCCCUUAAGUUUUGUAUAUGUGGCAGUUUUGACUUCCAAGACCAAUUUUGACUCGGUCUACGUUGACGUGGCACCCUAAGUGAGGUGCCACAUGUUAUUUUUUUUAUUUUAUUUUUUACCAAAAAUUGGCCUUGGAGGGCCAAAACUGCUACAGUUGCAAAACUUAGGGGUCGUUUCGUAGUUUUUUCUUAGGGACCAAAAUCGCAACUACGUGCAAAUUAGGGGGCGAAAACUGUUAUUAAGCUUUAAAAGAAAUUAACAACAUUAAUGGACCGAUCAAAGGAGUUAACGUGGGCCAUAUUUUGAUUGGACAACCCAAAACAUGAAGCCUUUGAUUGACUGUCACUCCUAUCCUAUCAAUAAGCAUCUUUCUCUAAGCUACCAUUAAGAGUGUGUCCAUGACCAAAAGGGCCAGUAAAAGGUCAGGUAGAACUUCCAUUUUUAGAAGUUGAUCACUAUUAUGCCUAUAGUCCUUGUUUUUAUAGGGCUCUAGGUUAAUCUAUCAAUGACUUAUAUUCAAUAUCCACUCUCCUACACUUCUAGUUGCUUAAUAAGAAAAAGAAACUUCAUGGCAUGAUAACAAUUAAAGAGUGCUUGACACGUGAAUAUGAAAAACCGAUAUAAAUAAGUUUAAAGCCGUGAAUUUUGGAGAUGUACGUUAGGGCUUUACUUUUGCAUGUAGCUGAUUUGAUGUUACACUGAAUUUUCCACUAAGAACUGUUGAACUAUAACUAUCAAAUUAAUUGGAGAUAUACUAUUUGUUAAAUUUGUUCAAAACAAAAGUUGUCUUAACUUAUCACAGAGAUGGAAGAAGUGUUUAUUUAUCCUUGAUUUGGAACUCUUGAGGUUGAAAAUUCUUGAAUGGUGACAACAAUAAAUUCAACAAUUAUGUUCUUCACCUGCACUUUUUGUUUGCGUCUAACUGAAAUACAUAAACUACUCCUGCGUUAGUUAAUUAACGCAAGUGCAAAAUUUUACGCAAGUUAUAUAUAACACCCAUAAUAAAUUUAUCUAGAAUAUUUAGCGUGUGCGUUAACUUAGUACUGGAUACAUUAAAAUUACAACAUAAUUUCGACCAAAUGAAUAUAUACAUCAAUAUAAGUUCGUACAUCCGAUAAAAAUAUCAACUACCAGAUAUGAUAAUCCAUUCGACCGCAUAACUGCCUUCUCUUGAUACAAGCAACCUGCUAAUCUUUAAAAUAAAUAAAAGGAUUGGGAUGAGACAUGAUGUCUUAGUGAGUUCCACCUAUCCUAAGUUGUAGGCAAUUGCGGGGAACCUAUGAUCGCCAUUUGUCCGUACAUACAUAUGAUUAUAGAUUUUACUAUUAUAUUCUGCAUAACUUAGCGAUUAGGGGAAAAAUCUAGGAUCGCUAACUUGUAUACUAUCAUAAUUCUAUCAUAUUUUAGAUGCGCUAUUCUAAUUUAUUUAUUUACUUUAUUCUAAUUUUUUUUUUUACUUUAUUCUAAUUUAUUUAUUUUCUAAAUUAUGUGUUCACUUUAUUCUAAUUUAUUUACUUUAUUCAAAUUAAUUUAUUUAUGUUAUUCUAAAUUAUUUAUGCACUUAAAAUAAAUAUUUAUUCGAAUUUAUUCAUUAAAUGUAUACAAAUAUAAAUAAAAAGAAAUGAACUAAAUUAAUAUUUAUUCGGAUUUAUUCAUUAAAUACAAAAUUAGAAAAUAAAAGCAAACAUAAAUUAAAAAAAAAAAUGAACAAAAUUAAUACAUAUAACAACAUCUCAUUUUAUUAAUAGAAUUCAUACAAUAAUUGAUACAUUUGUUCGAAUUCACUAAAUCUACUAUUUUCUUUUUACCCUCUUGGUAAAUAGUGAGCAACAUUCUUGGAGGAAAUACAUCAUCAACCCUUAGAGUGUGUUUGGAUGGGGUAAUGUUUUGAGGGAAUUCAAAUACUUAAAAGGCGAAUUCCAUUGUUUGGAUAAUAAUUUGAAGAUUUUUCAAAAUGAUGGAAAUUUAUGAAGUAUUUUCAAAAUUCUUCGUUGUUAUAAUUUUUCAAAUUUUGCAUUAUGGUCCUCAAAUUUUCCAAAUUUUUUAAUUUGACCCCAAUAAAUUUCCAAAAAAUUGCAAAUUUGUCCCUCAAAAUUUUCAUAAAUUAUAAUUUGGCCCCUUAAGUUUUUGAAAUUUACAAAUUGACCCCUAAUUUCAAUUUUCAAAUCUGACCCCCUAAAAAUUAAAAUUUAUAAAAGUUGCCCAAAAAUGAUGGUAAUGAAAUUUUUAAUUACUCUAUCCAAACAAAAGUAUUGAGAAAUGUGAUCAGUGCAUUUUUAAUGUACUUUCUUCUAUCUUAUGCUAUGACAAUUCUAUGAUUUCUCCCUUUAAUUUUAGUGUUUUUAAUGUGUUUUCUAAGUUUAGUUUAAUUUUGCAUUUAUUUUAUUUACGCUACUUAUUUUCUGACACCUUUCAUUGCGCAGGGCAUAACUGGAGCUGCGUUUAUCGUUUUGAGGCCCACAACCAUGCGUUGGAAAGCUAAGAGAAAAUGCUACAACUUUCAUGUUGAGGACAGAACCCAGUUCCGAGCGCAAAGGAGUCAAAUAAUCGCGUUUUGUUCCAGACGUUAUUUUGAAUAAUUAAUUUUGAGACAACAUUUGUUUUUCGGCCCGAUACUUGCAAAGCCCGUUGUUCCCAUGUAAUAUAAAAACUAAAAAACACAGCUAGGGCUGCUCAUUCUGCAUUCACGUUUCAGAAAAUAGAAACCCUAAGAGUGUGUUUGGAUGGAGUAUUUGAGAAAUUUUGAAGAAUUUAGAAUUCUAGGUAAUUCAAAUGAUUCAAUUAAAUUGCUUUCAUUCUUAAAUAUUAUUGUUUGGAUGGAGUAAUAAAAAAAAAUUAUUGUCAUCAUUUUUGGGCAACUUUUAUAAAUUUCAAUUUUUUUGGGCCAAAUUUGAAAAAUGAAAUUAGGGAUCAAUUAGUAAAUUUCAAAUUUUUUGAGGGGCCAAAUUAUAAUUUUUGGAAAAUUUGAGGGGUCAAUUUGCAAUUUUUUAUAAAUUUAUUGGGGUCAAAUUGAAAAUUUUGGAAAGUUUGAGGACCAAAAUGUAAAAUUUGAAAAAAUAUGACAAUGAAGAAUUUUGAAAUUCUUAACUUUUAGGUGUCAUUUGAAAUUCUCUACAUUUAACUUGAACAAAAUACUUCAUAAAUUUCCAUCAUUUUGAAAAUUCUUCAAACUAUUACCCAAACAAUGAAAUUCACCUCAAGGUAUUUGAAUUCCUUCAAAACAUUACAUUCCCUCAAAACAUUCCCCCAUCCAAACACACUCUAAGGUAGCUGGUUGCUAUGGAGAAUUAAUCUCUCUUUCGAUCCAUUGGUGACGGAACUUUGUUGUUACUCUUGAGGUUCGGUUUUAAUAGCAAUUUGUUAUGUUUAUGCUGAUCAUAUAUCAAUUUUCUUGUCUCUCUUAUGUGUAUGAAUUUGGUACAAUUGAUGCUUAAUUAUUCUGUUUCAUAUUCAUACCGUUGAGAUUGUUCGAAUUAAUCCAUCGCUUGUUUAAAUUAAUUUGAACAGAAAACUAUAUAUGCUUUUUUCGCUUGCAAAAAGGGUUGAUCGAAUCUUGUUAUGAUAUUAACUUUGUUCUUGGUGAUGCUUGAUCAUCACCAUAGUUAGUUGAACACGUAUGAUGCUUAAUCAAACGAAUUCUAUAUAAAACUGAUUUUCGCUUGUUAAAUGAGUUUUAUAAUCAACCAAAGCAUAAACUCUUAAACAAAUACUCUUGAGAGCAUGUGAUAGAUGAUAAACAAAGUUUCCUAAAACCAGUGGAUUGCUUUUCUAUUAAUUGAAUUCAUCAUCCUAUUUACUUUUCUUUACAACAAAACAAAAACCCCCCGAUUUAUAUUUUUGAAUUCAUAGUUGUUGUUCUUGUUAUUGGUAAUUGCUAAAUCAGAAAUCCUCGAGAGACAACCAAGGUUAACUACCUUGUACUACUUGUUUUAAAAUACUUAUUUUUGAUCGUCCACGACAACGAUCAAAAUGAAAGUAAUUUAAUUGAAUCAUUUAAAUUGUCUAGAAUUCUAAAUUCUUUAAAAUUUCUCAAUUACCUCAUCCAAACACACACUUAGAGUGUAUUUUGAUGAGGUAAUUGGGAAAUUUUAAAGAAUUUAGAAUCCUAGGCAAUUUAAAUGAUUCAAUUAAAUUACUUUCAUUUCUCAAUAUUUUUGUUUGGAUGGAGAAAUAAAAAAAUUUCAUUGCCAUCAUUUUUGGGCAACUUUUAUAAAUUUUAAUUUUUUUGGGCCAAAUUUGAAAAUUGAAAUUUGGGGUCAAUUUUUUAAAUUUCAAAAAUUUUGAAGGGUCAAAUUAUAAUUUUUAAAAUAUUUGAGGGGUCAAUUUGCAAUUUUUAAAAAAUUUAUUGGGGUCAAAUUGAAAAUUUUGGAAAAUUUGAGGACCAAAAUGCAAAAUUUGAAAAAAUAUAACAAUGAAGAAUGUUGAAAUUCUCUAAGAGUGUGUUUGGAUGGGGGAAUGUUUUGAGGGAAUUCAACUACUUUGAGGUGAAUUCCAUUGUUUGGAUAAUAAUUUGUAGAAUUUUCAAAAUGAAGGAAAUUUAUGAAGUAUUUUAUUCAAGUUAAAUUUAUAGGAGAAAUUCCUGUGUAGGAACGAAAUGUUGUGUGAGAUUAUGUUUUGAACUUUCUCCCUCCCAUUGUAUUCCUAUUUCGUUGGGUACCCUAACCAUAUCAUCUGAUUUGGUAGGUUCGUUGCCAUCUCCAAUCCUCAUAAGAAAUUCUGCAAAUUCAUGAUCAUGCAUUGAUCGCAUAUUUUGGCGCAGAUGUAGGACCUUUGUAAUGGCCCAUAAAUUAGACCGAACGAUGCAUGCAUUCAUCAUUUGCGAUUGGUUUCCCUUUGCAAUAACUAGAAGCACUUGACGAAAAUCUCCCCCCAUAAUAACCACUUUCCCACCAAAUGGUUCAUUGUUACCCAUAACAUCUUGUAGUGUUCGGUCUAAUGCUUCUACACAAUACUUGUUUAACAAGGGGGCUUCAUCCCAAAUGAUUGCAGUAGCCCUUCUCAUGAGUUUUGCAAGGUCGCCUUGCUUAGGCAUUGUGCAUCUAGAAGAUGGCUCUAUCUAGAAGGGUAUUCUGAAUUGAGAGUGUGCAGUUCUUCCACCGGCUAAUAAUGUAACAGCUAUCCCAGAUGAAGCCGUUGCUAAGAUAAUGUCUCCUCUACUUCUCAAAACUGCCAUUAUUGCUCGAUAGAGGAAUGUUUUUCCUGUACCUCCAGGACCAUCAACAAAAAAAACAACGCUUUUCUUAUGCUUGAUGACAUUCAUAAUGGUGUUGAAGCAAACAUCUGAUCAUUAUUUAACUUUUCAACAGAUUGAAUGUCGUCAUGUGGAAUUUGGACUGAUAACUCCUCCAAAAUCAUUUUUGGCACUACGUCACAUUCUGUUGUUUCGAUAGUUAUCGCAGGAAGAUCAUAGUCUUUGAUAAUCUUCAACCAUGUGGGGGUAAAAUUCAUUAAACAGACCUCUAACAUCAGUUGGCUCACCAAAAACUAAAAUAGUGGCAAACAACCUUCUUAAAGCAUAUGGCAUACGUUGAUUUGACGCGUCAACCAUGCAUUCUCGAAUACUAUUGUCACUCUCCAAAAAUCCAUGACACUCUACUGACAUUUUGAAUGUGUGAUAGAAAGUUCCAUUACAUGUGAGAAGGUAUUCCCAACUUGUUGGACCUCGCAAAUGAGAUAAUAGGACAGGUAGGUAGAAUUUCUCUCCUUCUGAAGGGGACACUGUAUUGAUUCGACCAAUAACUUUUCAGUUAUUUUUUAUUCUCUGCCAUUUCUUAACCCCUUUUUUCCAGCAAUAAUGCUAUGGAAUCUCUCUGUACAAUAAAUUUCUAGCAUAUGGAUCCAUUUGGUUUAGUGCAAAGAAUUAUGUGAGCAUUGUUUUUGAAUUUUGGUCAUCAUUCAGCACAUAAGCAAUUUGUUGAUGGUUAUAAUAUCGCACUUGUUGAUGAUUUGGUAAGUGAAUUUGCAGUCUUUCAACAGAGGGAUAUAACUUGUAUAAAGUGAAUUUAAAUAUUCUCCAUAAUGCCUCUGGAGCACAAAUCCAUAUUGCAUCUACAAACUGCUGAAUUUCAUCCAUAUUUGUUCCUCUGUGAACUUCCAUCGUGACACGAUCAAGUCUCUUGUAAACAUAUUUAUAGAGAUAUUCAAUGCUUUUGAUGCUGCUGCAUACCUCGACAUUUAUGUGACAAUCAUAUUUUAACAGCAGCCAUGCAUUAUAAGGAACCACCCAUUGCAAUAUCUGUUAUUGUCUUUUCCUUGACGGGUCUCUUCUACAAAUUCUUUUGAAUAUCUCUUUUUACAUUGCCGUUCUUUACUCAUGCAUGGUGACUUUUGAUUCAGCCUGCCGCAUGGCCCAUGAAUCAUGUGUUUUAGGACUGCCUCAUACAAUUGGGGCUCAGAUUCAACCUUUGGUAUUUCUGCUCUUACCACCUUAUCAUAAUCUUGUGGUUCUCGUAACUUGUCAUCGUUAUCAAAGAUUAACAACAUAUGCACAUGCGGAAGACGUCGUUUCUGAAAUUCAGUUACAUACAUAUAACUUUUAACCUUUCCUAAGACACCUUUAGUUAUGACAUCAUCCUUCAAUUGCUCAAAUUUAGAGCGGAAUAUUCUUGUUAGCAAGUUAGGACGAUCUUAUGGGGUUUGAUUAGGGCCAAGUUCAGAAGUGAUCUCAGACCAAGAAGGGUAACAUGUCAUUGUGAGGAAAAUAUCCGGUUUACCAUCUUUAAGCACAAUGGCCAUACCGUCUUGGUAUCUCUGUGUCAUAUCUCGUUUACUACCCAUAAAUGAUGAUGGUAAUAUUAUUCUCUGCCCGACAUUUGCUAUUAAAUUUUUGGCUUAUUAGAUCGUUUGGUCCCCUAAACAAUUUCAUGUUUUCAUUUUGGUUCCAUAAUUAAUAAAACAGGUGUUUUAGUCCCUCACUUUUUGCUCUGUUUGCCAAAUAAAUCCCUUCUGUCAAAUAAUUAACAUUUCCGUUAAUAAAAGCUCACGUGGCAAAAAUAACCCGGAAAUUUGGCUUCUUUCUUUGUGUUCUUCAUCAUCUUCAUAGGAUUUAUGAAGGAAAAAAGAAAAAGAAAAAACCAGAAAAAAAAAAUCAUCAAACAAACAACUUCCCUACCCUUUCCAAUUUCCCUUCUCUGUCGAUCCCUUUCUUUUUCUCUUUCUCUUUCUCUUUCAUAACCUUCAAAACAUCUCAUUCAACAAACAAAAAUCCUUGAUCACACAAAAGAGGGUGGGAAAAAAUUGAUGGGUUGGGCGUGUCUCUCCCUCCAUCCAUCAUUCCAUUAUUAUUCUCUACUGGUAAUCAGUAACAAUUAGAAGAAAAAACAACAAAAUCAACAAUUAGAAGAACAACAACCUCGUCUGAGAUUUGGACGCGGCCGCCGGAGGUUCUUGGCCUCGAGCUCAGAUCUGGCCGUGGCCGAAGUUUUUUGGCAUGUGAAUGGGUUUUUGAAUUGAAACUUGAUCUUCCUUGCUCUUUUCUUCCCAAAAACAUGUUUUUUUUUUAAAACAAACAAAUCAUUAGAAGAAAUUAAUAUCAGUAUCAUCAAACCAAAGAAUCCUCCAAGAACCUACCUCUAAAGAUCGACUCUCAUAUUUUCUUUUUUCCUUCCUUAUUCAUUGUUAUGGCUUGAAUAUUGAUAGUUGCCCUUUAGUUUGCAUCAUUGGAUUGGAUGAUUCUUCGCUCUCAUCCUUGAAUAUUUAUAGUUGCCCCUUACUAGUAUUUUUUUUUCUUUCUUCUGGGUUUGAUUUGAUGAUUUAUGAAGAUGGUUUUACUCCUUUAUUUAUGUUUCUAUUGUAUUAAUUUGUGUAGAUUUGAUGUUGUUGUUUUAAGAAUUGUUGAUGUUGAACAUUAUAUGAAUUUUGGUGAUUAGAUUAUGUGAUGUUGUUCUUUUAUUUUUUUCUAGAUUUUUCUCAAUGUUGAUGAAUGUGAGUUGAAGAUGAUGAAGAAAGAAAGAAAAAAAUUAGGUGUUGUUGGUACACCGUAAGUAACAAUAGACAUGCAUAAUCCAAUGGUCAUCUUUUUAAAAAACAGAUCAAAUGGUUUACAUUAAAAAAUUUAAUAAUGUCUAUGGUGGACCACUCUUAAGGUAGGUCCACCAUAGACAUUUGGGGUUAAACUUAACAACCAUGGAUUUAUUUGGCAAACGGAGCAAAAUGUGAGGGACUAAAACGCCUGUUUUAUUAAUUAUGGGACCAAAAUGAAAACAUGAAAUUAUUUAGGGGACCAAACGAUCUAAUAAGCCUAAAUUUUUUUUUGCAAUGUGUGGGUAAUGGAAUGUAAAAAACAAAAUCUAUAUAACAUAUAAAAAAUUUGUUUAAUGUUAUACUUGCGUUAGUUUCCCCAUCAUAUAAGGCAUCCUGCAAUCCCUGGUAUAACUCAGACCGAAUAUUAUUCUGAUUUCUCCGCAUCCACCUUAGUCUUCUAGUUUCUAUCUUAACAUAGUUAUCAACAACAUAUUGUUGUAGAAGUCGACCAGAUUUUAACAAUACAGAUCGGUCAUUUGCACAAAUCUAUAUUAAAUGAAAAAAUUUAUUAUAUAGAUUUUACACAAAUAUUUAUGUAAGUAUUAUGGGCAUAAAAUUAUUUUGUACCUGGAGCAUGUAACUAUAGUAUGCUCGAGUGUUACAUCAUCACCGCGAAUAUUAUUCUGAUUUCUCCGCAUCCACCUUUUGUAGAUUUCCAUCGUUGCUGCAAGAUGUUUAUAUCUUGUCCACGUUCCAGUGUUACAUCAUCACCGCGAAAAAUAACUGCAGCGACUUGUGAAGCAGAUGGGAGAUUAUAUUGAGGUUGAAUUGAUGGACGCUCCUUAAUAAGAAGCCUACACUCAUGAACAUUCGGCUGAAGUGCAAGCUGUCUUAAAUUAUGCCCAAAAGGAUUGUAUUAGUGGAGCAUAUUUUGCAAUUUACGCACAACAGUUUGGUUUAGUUGAGGGUUUUCUGUCAUCCUAUUUUGAAGCUCAUUGUCCGUAUCAUAAAUGUACAAUUAUAAAAAUCGCGGCCUAGAACCUUGAUUUGGAUAAAAUUCACAUAUUUUGUGGUAAAUUGAUCCUUGGGCACGGAAUGUGUAUAUACCAUGACUUGUAGCAUGCAUUGUUUCAUCGAUAUGAACACCCAAUGAAGUGAACGACAUAACAUGGUUGUAACCUCUAAUAUUUUGUCUAAAAUGUCGACCUUCAAUUGUAGUGUCUGAAAAUAACUGCUGCAACUCUUCGGGAGCAGCUACUUGUGUAACUAUCACAUUUCCAUUUUUGCAGCACAUAUAUUGGGUUUCUUUGUAAAACAAUUUUGUAUUGCAUCGUCUACACGUACGUGGUGUAGGGAGCAGAGCGUUGAUCAUCAUGACAGUAUUUUUGAAAUUUCGUGCAUUGUUAUGUAUUGCUUGAAAUGUACACCGUGGAACUGUAUGUUAAAAGGUAUAUAAUGUUAUGAUAGUCAAGUAUAAGUACCUAUGAUCAGAGUAGAAAAAAUAGAUAGAUAAACACAGGAGUGCCCGUCAUGAAGACAUUUUUUUUUGUUAACUUGGUUAGUGGUUAAAAUUCACUUUUAAGGUGAAUAUGCGGGGUGAAGGAGAUUCGAAAUCUGAUCAUUGUAUAUUAUAAUGCAUUGUUCCUAUUAAUUGAAUUAUUCUCAUAGUGAUCGUCUUGAUGAUAGUAUUUGAAAUCUAUCAGACCGACUAACUUAAUAAGAACAUAUUUUAUUUUGGGACAUAUUACACAAACCUCUAUUUUUGUUUGAAAUUUCCUUAUAUAUUUAAAAUAGUGUGGUCCACCUUCCUGUUUAAAAAAGAAGUGGUUCAGCCCUGAAUUGGGUCCGUAUUUGAAGAACGGAAAUUUAUUAUUUGUGUUUUAAGACAAUAGAUACUCUCGUCAUCAUAUUUCACUAUUAGGAGGCACACUUUUAAUUAUUUUUUUGUUUUGGUAUAGGCACACUUUUAAUUUAAUAUAUGAAUUAAAAUAGUUUUUUCUAGAGUAAAUUGUUCAUUGGCUAGUUGUUAUUAGUAUGUUUAAACAAUGGUAUAAAGCAAAAAAGUUUAAAAAAGUUGGAGAAAUCGACGCAAUAAUAACUUAAAAUUGUGAAUUGUGAAUAAUAAGUCUAAAAUGUUAAUAAGAAAAAUAAAAAUUCAUACUUGUUUACUAAUAUUUUUUGAUAAUACAUAACUUUAGUUGUACCUUGAUAGUAAUACCAUGUUGCGUCGUUAGGUGUGGUGUCGGAGACGACAUUUGAUGUUGGAGUCUCUGAAAAAAUAUAGUGAAUUCUUAUUAGGAGAAUGUGGCUAAAUAUUACUAAUUAUAAAGAUAUAUAAUUACUAAAUUUAACUAAGUAAUUGUUACAAAAUAUGGUGCUUACCAUCUGUAGUGUCAUCACUAUUUCUUCUACUUGGUCCCGCUUCAUUGUCAUGAGUUCCUUGAAAAUAUCCUGAAUCAAUAUGACGGUAUAUAAGUUGUAGUAGAAAUUAAAGCACAAAGGUUAAUUUAUUAAAAAUGAGUAAUAUAAUGUAUAUUCUUAUAUAAGUAUUUGUAAUUGAAGUAAGCUUGAAAUAAAUUAAGAAACAAUUAUAUUAUGUCACUAACCAGAUGUGGUGUGAUUGAAUCAUCGACGAUUACUUGGUCCAGCCUCAUUAUCAUGAGUUCCUUGAAAAUAUGCUGAAACAAAAUGGUGAUAUGUAAGUUUUAAUAGAAAGUACGAAGGUUAUUUUAUUAAAAAUGAUUAAUAUAUUGUAAAUUGUUAUAAGUAUUUGUAAUUUGAAGUAAGCUUGAAACAAAUUAAGAAACAAUAUUUUUUCUUUAUCACUAACCAGAUGUGGUGUGAUUGAUUCGUCGACGACUACUUGUUCCAGCCUUAUUGUCAUGUGUUCCUUGAACAUGUGACGAUGUAAAAUUUAAAUUUGUCAAAUCAUUAAAUGGCAUCAUGUGAUCUCUGUUUGUUUCACUUGUUGUCUGAGGUUGUUUUUGUAACGCCCUAGUCGUUAUUUUAAUUAUUUUGGAUUUAUGUGGAGUCUUAUAUGUGAUUUUAAAAUUAUAUUUGUAGAUUUUAUGGUGUGUUAGAUUUUACUAUAUAGUUUAUUUUAAUAAUAAUUAGAAUAAGUGAGAAUUAGUAUUAUUUUGGAGUGUGGGGAGUUAAUUAAUAUUUAAUAGAAUUAAGGGGGAGUUUAAUGAAAAGUAGGGAAGUUACGUUUUGGGAGUUCAGAAAAGAGAAAAGUCAGAAAACGUUUUUACGUGAAAAUCAACUUUUGGGAGAAAAGGGAGAGAAGAGCAAGUAGAGCCAAGAACCAAGUUGCUGUGAUUAUUUUUCUGCAAUUCUAAGGUAAGGGUGAGGUUUACCGCAAUUGUAUAGGUUCUGAAUUCUGAUUUUGUUUUUAACAAGUUUAUGAGAGAAUUGGGAGAAGUUAGAUUUUGUUAAAUUAAUGGGUUUUGAGAGUAGGGAAUGUUAUAUUGAUGUUAGAAAUGGGUUCUGAGUGCAUAUAACCUUUCAUUGCAUAUCUGUAAACUGAUUUCGGGAGUGAAUUGGAGGAAAAUGGGAUUUUUGGGAAAAACCUGCAUUCUGCCCGUACAGAAGUUCAUCGCUCGCCUCACGAGUAGCCUUUGCUCGCCAAGGCGAGUGAGAAACUUCAUGGCUCACCUCGCGAGUGAGACAACUCGCCAUGGCGAGUACCUGUGAGGAAAACUGAAUUUUUAAAGUGUUGUUAUAAGCCGUAUUGUGGGUAGUUUUAUGUACCUAGAUAAUUUUAGACAGGACUGGAGCAAGUUUUAGAUUUAAAAGAUGAAUAGGGAGCUUAGAAUUGUUGAAUUAGUGAGAAAAAUGUCAAAACUCCCGAGAGCACCAUAUUUUUGUUCGCCUCGAGUUCGCCUGGAAUCGCCAUGGCGAGUGUCCUGUUUUCUGAGCUCGCCAUAGGCAGUAGAUGUGCUCGCGAGGCGAGUUGCCCAGUAUUUGUUUGAUUGAUUCUGUUGUUGAUGGUUGAUUUAUCUUGAUGAUUAAGCAUGACUUUUAUAAUGGUGUAUUUUCUGGAUGUUCUAAAUUGGUUAUAACGAAUUGAUGCUGGCUGGAUGUAUGCUUUUAUUUAAUUAAGUCAUACAUGAAUGUUGUAAUUGGAGUGGUGAGUCAUAUACAUAUAUAUGCAUAGGUUGGGUUGUAUGUAGAUAUACACAAGUGGGUCAGUUGCAUAAGCAUAAAAGUGGGAGAGCUUCGACUCUGGAACGCCUUGUCGUUCAAAGUGGUGGAGCACUAGUUGCUCAAAGUGGUGUCAGUGGUGAGGACUUAUGUCCUGAAAAUGAAUGCUUUAACCAUUCUACAGCGGUGAGGGCUACGGUCCUGAUUAUGGUACCACAUGCAUGGGUGUUGUUAGAGGAGUCUUAGUGGAGAGGUGAUGAGUUGCAUGAGUCGUUGAGUUGGUUUUUAAUUACCAUUAUUGAUGAAAUUGAAAAUGAUGAUAUUUAUAUAUUGUUGAUGAAUUAUUAUGAUAGGGUGUUAGAUUCAAUUGAUGCAUUCAUUAUCUAUAUUAUUGUUGUGAAUCUCACCCCUUCUGCUUGAAAAUGUUGCCCUUCCUAUGGGUAACUUGCAGGUGAUCCUGAGUAGUUGGUGGUGGCUCAAAGUGUCUAGGGCUCUGAUACGUACGAGAUGGGAUUUAUUUAUUGCUUUCAUUCCUUAUGUAUCAAUUUUUGGAACUUGAUGAUGUAGCCCUUUUGGUUGUCUGUUGGAUUUAUGUCGUUGAGGCUUUAUGCCAAGAAUUAAUUAUUGGAGAAUUAAUUAGUUGGAUGUGGUGUUAUUUAAAGGUUGAAAAUAUUCCGCUGCAAGGUUUUGAUGAAAUUAUUAAGUUGUGGUUUUAUUGAAUAGUUUUAUAAUCUAUUUAAGAAAUUUUGAAAUGUAGUGUAGCAUGCCCGUUUGGUGAGUUACUCUGAUGUAUGAUUAUUUAUUAUUUAAUUGAAUUUGGGAAACGGGGUGUUACAGUUUUCCCCUUUCUUUUGAUUGUCUAUAAUUUGUUCGCCUUCUAGACAAUUCUUGUUGUCUUUGCUUGGUGCUCAUAUUUUGCCUCCGAUUUCUUGCAUUUUGAGUUCGUCUUUCCCUUUGCAAAUCCCUGCACUGUUUGAUGUAGUAUUUUUGAAUCAAACAAUUGUAAGUAUUUGUAUCGUCUCCUUAGGGACUAGUGCGAUAUUGCGGACCGUUCGACACCAAAUAUCAUUCUAAGUUAAACGAUAAUUUGUUAUUUGUUUGAAUAACUAAGUUGCAAAUGAUAAAGUUGAGAUUAAUAGGGCGUAAAACUUGUUAGGAUUAGAGUUCCUUGAUCAAGCGUCACACGUAACCUAAUGACCGUACAUGGAUUCUAGCUUUUCUUUGAUAUUAUCACGUAUCCCUCGACAACACUAUUCGUGUCCAAACAAUAUUGUGAAAUCAAUUGUAUCAUUCAAUUGUCGAUGUCUCAAACUAUUGAAUGAUUCAAGAGUCGAUCUUAUCGUUCAAUCGAUAAUUUCUCAAUCUAUUGAAUGAUAAGAAAGCUUUAGGUUUGGAUACACAAGGUGAUUAUCAAAACAUCGAUUCCAUGUCUAAAACCUAUGUUUUGAUAGAUGGUUAUUCUAAACCUAGAUUCAAAAGUAUUUCUCAAUCACAAUUAAAUCAAAGAUAAACAUUAAAGUGCAAGAAUAACAUCAAUAUCAAAUCAAAUGCUAUAACCAUAUAUUUAUAGAUCAAAAGAUUACAAGUUAAGCUAAGGUCAAGUACCUCUAAUCCCAACAAAGGAGGUUUAGCUACUCAUUGUCAUGGAAGCCUUGCAAGAAUGAAUUGAAGAAGCAAGAUUCAUUACAACUUGUGAUUUCUCAACAAAAGAUGAAGAAUCCACUUUCUAUCACUCUCACUCUAUGAAGAACAAGCCCUAUCUCUCUCUCUAAGAAUGUUACAAGUGAAAACUAUGAAAAACUAAGAUAAAAACUAAGUAUAUCAAUGAAAUGGUUGAGUGGGCUAUUUAUAGAAUUCUGAUUUUGUAUCAACUCACCUCGCGAGCUCCUUCAUUCGCCAUGGCGAGUUGAGGUUCCUUCACCAUUGGGUUUGUGCCAAGUCAUCUGUGAAGAGUUAAACCGCCCUAACUCGCCUCGCGAGUACACACAUUUGCCAUGGCGAGUUCUCUCGCCUUCCACUCGCCAUUACGAGUUGGUGGCGAAGGAUCUUUGAUGCUCACUGGAAUUGCUCGCCUUUUCUGCUAGCCAUGGCGAGUUGGAGGCGAGUAACAUCAUUUCUUGCCUCUUUGUACUUUUUCUUCAUUUUUGCUCUUCGCCUGAUGUCUUGAGUUCAAAUCCUGCGCAAAUGGGUGAAGUAAGAUAAAUAAAGCGUAAAAGGGCAAUAAUCAUUUAUCUCUCGGCUUUUCCCUCAAUAACUUGCAAAACAAGUAACAAAAGUGCCUAAAAUAUAUCAUGAAUUUAACACUUCCUAGCACUUAUCAAACUCUCCCCAACUUAACUCUUUGUGUGUCCUCAAACAAAAGAUUGAAAAUCAAACAAGUUAAUAUGACAAGACACAAGUACAAAAAGGUUUGAAAACAUUUUCAGAUGAAUGAUUCAAAGUGAAUGCGCGGGCAAGUCUGAGUUUCCAAUCAAUCUAGGAUUCUACCACAAAUAUGAAAUGAGUCCUACGCACAAAGUUCAUGUCAAAUAGUUCAAGUCAAUAAAACAUUCAUUCACGAACCACACCUAACACACUUUUUUGUAAGUAGAUAAAUAAUUGAAAUCAAAUGAGUGAGGGUUAUGAGCACACAUCCGGCAAUCAAGUUAACAUCCACAUGAAGUUAUAUGUCCAUCCAAUUAUCAUUUCAAAAGGCAUAAAAACAUGGAUCAAAAGGUCUUUGAGGGUUGUAACUUGGCUAGGCUACAAAAGAAUUGACAUUUGUGGGGCAAUUGAAUUCAAAUGGCCAAGCAUAAGGGAACAUUCCUUCUAUUUACAUUCAAAAGACAAAUUUACUAGAAUUCCCUAAACAACGGUGUUUAAACAUGAUACACCUUGAUCUUGACAACUUAUUCUAUUUUUGGAUUUUUCUUUUUCUUCUUUUCUUUUCUUUAUCAUGUACACAUUUUUCUUUUUCUCUUUUCUUUUUGCAUUUACAAACAAUGUUGUCUUGAUCAAAAACUUCUAAUUACACCAAUUUACUUGACAAAUUAUGACAUCUACCUUUUUCUCCCCAACUUGAAUAAAAACAUACCCUAUUUGAAUGUUCCCUUAAUCUAUGGCAAAAAGGGACAAAUAACAAUGAAGGUUUAGGGUUCAACAAUUGAAACAUAUCAAGGUCCGUUAGUGCAACAAAAAUGAACUGGAUUUUGAAAAAAUUAAGGCAAAUUCAUCAAACAUUGUGCUUAUGAAUUGACAGUUCAUAAUUGAGGACCUUGCUUCAUUUGGCUCAAGUGGGUUAACAAAUACUCGCUCUUCUCACAAGGUAGGCUAUUUGUGGUCAAGUAUGUUUCUCUCAUUAAACAAAAUAUGCCUUGAUCCAUUCCAUGUCUUCACACAAUUUAAAACAUAUAUUGGAUUUAACAUAAAAUGACCGAGUUAAUACAAUGAAUGCCGGUCUCCUUGCAUAUAGUACAAACAUUUGAGGUUUCCUCACUUUUUGGCUACUAAGUGGUUGAUGGGAUAAAACCGCAAGUGUACGGUCUUACCGAAGUAGUAUGAAAAGAGUAUCGUUCCGACAGGGAGUAGUUUAAUUCAAUUAACCUUUGAUGAUGAUUAGAGGAGAAAAGACUUGUAAGUUGGGGUUUUCAAGCGAUUGAAAAGUAAUAAUAUAAAAGGAGCCUUGGGAUCGUCGAUUCAUCCAAAUGACAAGUCCUUCACAAACCAAACUAUAAGCUUAUAACGUUAUGUUAGACCUAAUUUCUCAAGACAGUUUCUCUUUUGUUCCUUUAGCAACCAAGCCUAUUUCGCUGACUUGAUUACUAUUAGAUUUUGGUUCCUCUAACAACCAAGCCUAUUUCGCUGACUUGAUUAUUAUUAGUUCCCUUGAAGAUCGAAACUAUAUGUCUCAAAGAUUGCAAAGACUAUUUCGCUGCCUUUGCAAUCCUUGUCUAAAUUCACUUGUUCGAAUAUCAAAGUUCCACUUUCAUUUUAUGAAUUGAUAUUUGAGAUGAUGGAUGAAAAAUUAUCAAACCCUCCAUUUUUGUUUCCACAGUUUGAUAAUGGUUGAUCCAUGUUUAAGCGGUGAAUUUAGAUAAGAAAUUAGGGUUACAUAAGAUUAAGGCUUAGAGCUUGGUUUGAUUAGGAUUAGGUCAUUUAGACUUAUCCAACAAUCCCAAGACAAGGAGAAGUCUACUCACUCAUGUUCAUCGUAGACAUGGGGGAGAAGAGAGAAAGCAUAAAAGUAAAUGACAAGAAAAUAAAGGAAAAGAAAAGAACUUUAAUUAGAAAAGCAAUUGUCACUUCUUGAAUUCCAAGUAAAGAUGAAUAUUUGUGAUGGCUAGCUACUCUAUUUAUAGCAUACAUUCGACUUAAAAUCUAAGCAAUUACAUUACUGGAAUGUUCCAUAAGAAACUGCGAGCUAAAAUAGAGUAGCUUAAAAUCUAAGCAAAAGCAGUGAAAGUGACUCUAGAGGGUGGCACGGCCGUGCCAAUGCUAGCACGGGCCGUGCCAAGCUUCUGACUUUGGGGAGACAUAUUUUUGUCUCUCAAUCUUUGUAUUUUUGCAUUGAAUCAGCUCCAAGUCCCUUUCUUUUGCUCCAAGAUUCAAUCCAUCCAAUAUUCUUUCCUGAAAUAAAAUAGAAUGCAAUUUGUAGUAAACUAUCCUAAAAAGGAAAUAAUACUAAUAUCAAAUAAAAUAAAAUCUAAUUAAAAUUAAACUAAAUAACAUAUAAAAAUAGGUAAUAAAUGACUCAUCAAACUCCCCCACACUUGAAUCUUUGCUUGUCCUCAAGCAAAAGGCAUAGACAUGGCAGCAACAAAAGGAUUAAUAUAUGACAAUUGAAAUAAAAUCUUAUGUCUCUUUCAAGGUUUCAUUUCAAUGUACACUAAUCACAACUUCAAGUAUUCCUUGUGAACUUUAUUCAACCCAACAACAAGUCUUAAGUGAGUGUGUGUGUGUAGUCCAACCAUUUUCUUGCUCCUGUAUAAGAUAGAUAUUAUGAGGAAGAGGUUCUAACCUUAACACUAAAGUGACCGAGAAAAAUCCUUUCUUCAUUUCAUAUAAGAGAGAUGGGAGUUACUUAGAUAGAUUUGGCAAUUUAGAUACUUGGGGGCUUGUAGAUGCCUAGGGGCUAUCAUUUCACAUUGGAAGUCCGCGAGCGGGUAUCCUUUCCUCCAAGUUUCCAUGAUCACCCUAAGUAGUGCUACAACUUUAUUCAUCUUCACUUAGGAAGUUCCUCUUUUUUAGAGGGUUUUAUUCGAGCACAAUUUGUUUUGAGAAGUCAUCACCACAUUUAGGAAGUCAGUGAGAGAGUAUCCUUUCCUCCACGUGUUGGUGAUAUUCUUCUGCCCCAUUUUGGUUUACACAUUAUAGCACAUUAGAAUUAUUCCCACACAAACUUAUACUACUUUUACUCUGAAGAUUUUUUAGGGUCCAAGUUACCAUUAAAGUUAGAACGUGUUCCUUAAAAUACCUAUUCAUACACUUACUCAAGGAUUGCAACUAGGUGCUUUUCUCAUUGGAGAAUUUUCACAAUAAAACUUGAUGUGGGUAUAGCAGAACACUUACAACACAAGAAAUCACUUUCAUGUACAAGAAACGACCAUUGAAGAGACAAAAAAUUUAUGUCAUAAUAAAAUAAUAAAAACAAGCUGCUUAUUCAUGCCUUUUACAAUAAAACGAAACAAAAGAAUAAAGUUCAAGGGAGUUUGGAAACACUACGACUAAAGACACUUUAUUAGGCUCCCCCCACACUUAGGAGAAGCAUUGUCAUCAAUGAUUCAAAAUAGAAGAAAGAGGGGAAGGAGAAGAAGUAGUGAGAUAGAGAUUGAAGAGAUAAGGUGAAAGAGAGGAAGAGGAAAGCUCACAUUUUUAUUGAGGUCCAUAGGGAGGACCUUGGAGGUGGAAGUGUUGCAUCAUGUGCCGAAGCAUUUGGUUAUUCUCUUCGGAUAUGCGGUUGCCCCUUAGGACGUCAUUUCUUAGCCCGGAUAAUUCAACACCUUGCCUUUGUUGCUCGGUGCUUAUCCUUUGUACCUCAGUUUGCAUCCAUGCCCAUCUUUCAUUGUCGGCAUUAUGGUCAUGGGGUUCCUCUUCAUGGUGCACGUUUGCACCUUCCUCUUCACCUUGAUUAUGCUCUUCAUGUACCUGUAAUCCAUCACCAACAUACAACAAAUUUGCCUCCACCUCGGUGUUAGUCCGAGAUGGGUUAGGAAAUAGAAACAAAAGAGGUAUACGAAGUUGAAGUGCAUAGGUCAUGGUGGGUGAAUCUUAAUGAAAUUCAUAGCAACAAGGGUUUCAAUAUUAAGCCUAUUGUUGCCCUCAAUUGGAUUUAUCCCCUCUUCCUCACCCACUCCAAACUUCCUAGCGAUGAAGGUAAUGAUACCACCAACUACUAUCUCAGCUCUAUUAUCAGGUCUAGCACCUAUGGAGGAAAGGUAAUCAAGUAGGUAAAAGCAAGUAUGAACGGGGUUGUUACUAAGCAUUGCCCAAAGCAUAAAGAGUUCAUCCGUCCUAGUUGUUCCUACCUCUUUUUUCUACCCCAAAAUGGUACAAGCCAUGACUCUUUGGAGGUAUCUAAGCACUGGGUUGUGAAUGUUACUAGCCUUAUUGUUGCGAGGAUUAUAUUGCCUUAACCCGGUAAUGCGUUUCCAAAAGAGUGUGGGGUCAUAGUCUUCCGACUUUAGAUUUGGAUUCCAAGAGUCAUGGAUGAACCCCGCAUUUGCGAAGUCCAUCUCUAAACAAAAAUUUUCAAGAGACAUCUCGUAAUCCAUAUUCAAAAGUCGGAAGGAGACUCUAUGGUCGGGGUUAUCAAAGUUCACUUUAUCCUUCGUAAAUUCAAUAGAACUUAAGAAUUCGUAAGUAAAAUUUUCAAAACCUUUCAUAGGUCUAAGCAUAUCAACCCAUCCUAACUUUCCUAGUAAGCUAAACACAUUAUCCCUUAGUCCUAGUACACUCAAAGUAUAAGAAUCGGGAUAUCGACAAGGGUGCAAAAGUUUAGAGAUAAGAGUCUUAUACCUGUCCCUUUGCUUGGUGUCUUUGAAGAUUAUGCCAUGAUGCUUGGCUUGCGUUUUCUUCUUUGAUUGUGGUCCUCCGGAAGAGCUUGCUCCACCUUUCCUAGAUGCCAUAAUCCUUAACCUUGGUUUGACCUUUUGUGAUGGUGGUAAAGGUUGGUUUAGUGAUGGGGUUAAGGGUUAAGUGAGUUUUAAGAGUUGGGUUGUGGAGUUUGGUGAUGAAUUUGUGGGUUUUGGGUUAGGUUAAUGGGGGUGACGAAUUUGGGUGAUUUUGGUUUGGAUGGAUGAAAGUUGUUUUUCAAUGGUGUGUUAUGAUUGGAAUGGUGUUUGUGAUUGAUGGGGUAAAGAAAUGGUGUGAAUUGGUGAAGUUUUGAGGGAGAUAUGGAGUUUUCAGGUUUUGUGGUUAUAGAGGUUUUAGAGAAAAAUGGAAGGAUGAGAGAUGUUUGUGGUUGAGAAUGGGGGAUGAAGAAGAUGAAAGGUGAGGUAAAACUAUACCUGGAGUCGAGCACGGCCGUGCCAGCCUUAGCACGGGCCGUGCCAACUCCCUGGAUUGUGGAAUGGUUUUUGGAAGGCAAGGUCUGGCACGGCCGUGCCAGUGUGAGCACGGGCCGUGCCAAGGUUCUGGAUAAAUUGACUUCAAAAUUUUCCGUUUUCUCGAAUCAUGCUCGGACAAUUACCUACAAAACAAUUAAAAACAAAACAACAAAACAAAACAAAAGCAGUUAAAUGCGUGGGUUGCCUCCCACGAAGCGCUUCUUUAUAGUCAUUAGCUUGACGUUUUAAGAAAGUGUCCUUAGAAGGGAUCAAAGAGGUCAUAUUGUGUAGAUGACGCUAAUGAGCGUUCUUUCACAUCAUGACCUUUAAUCAUGUUACAAGAAUAGAGAGCGGGACCUUUCAUAAAAUUCUCUAACUCAAACCCUAUCAGCUCAUCACUUACUUGAAAAACAAUCCUACCAUUCUGAACAUCUACUAUAGCACCCGCAGUGGCGAGAAAGGUCCGUCCUAAAAUUAUAGGGCACUCGUUGUCCUCAUCUAUGUCAAGCACCAUGAAAUCAGUUGGGAUGUAUAUCCCUUCUAUUUUAACGGGGAUGUCCUCAACAUAUCCGACAGGUUGGAUAUCAGAACGAUCGGCUAACUUUAAUGUUGUUUCGGUAGGCUUUAACUCUCCCAUCCCCAGCCUUUUAAAGAGGGGUAAGGGCAACAAACUAACACUAGCUCCUAAAUGACAUAAGGCUCGGUUUAAGGUUUCACUCCCUAUCACACAAGGGAUGGCAAAACUUCCUGGAUCUCUAAGCUUUGGAGGUGGCUUCUUGAUGAUUGCACUUUUUUCUCUUGUGAAAGCUAUUAUCUCAUUUUUCUCUAUAGCCUUCUUCUUUGAAAAAAUGUCUUUUAAAAACUUGGCAUAUAGAGGCAUACGAGACAAAGCUUCAGCAAAGGGAAUCUGAACGCAAAUCUUUUUAAGUAUGUUUAAGAAUUUAUUAAAUCGAGCCUCCAAGUUAAGCUUAACGAGCCUUAAUGGGGAAAGGGCUUUGUUCUUGUCAAGUGGUUUCUUUAUCGCAUCCUUCUCACCUAGAAGCUUAACAUUCUCUCCCUUGACACUUUUGGCUUUAGCAACGGUCUCUUCUAACUUACUACCCCCAAGAGAAAUAGCAUUGACAUGAGCUUUGGGGUUUAUUUCAGGUCGACUGGGAAAGACUCCUGGUGUUUGAGAAGAGGUGGCCACUUGUUGGGCCACUUGGGAGAUUUGGGUUUCGAGCAUUUUGGUGUGUGUGGCGAUAGAAUCAACCUUGGUGGUGAGUUUGGAUAGAGAGUCGUUCAGAAAUCCUGUUUGGUUUUUUAGUUCUUGAAGUUGUUUAUUUUGAUUCAUCAUGCAAUUUUCCAACAAAAUUUCCAAACUUGAUUUCUGAGCCACCCUCUGGUUGUUUGUAUAGCCAGGUGGUGCUACUUGUCCAUAGGAACCUUGAGGGUUUUUGUAAAAGUUUUGAUUUGGCCUCGUUCCUUGGUUGUAUUGAGCAUAGUUCAAUUGCUCAAUACUAUUAGUAGCACUACCUAACUGACAAUCAACACCGAUAUGACCAAAUAUACCACAGAUUUCACAAGGAGGAGAUGUAGGAGAAGGUGUGACAGCAUUAACAUUAAGUUUUUCAAAUUUUUGAGUUAAGGCAUCAACCUUAGAAGCAAGGUGAUCAUAAUCAGAGACCUCGUACAUACCUGCCUCCUUUUUGGAGGGUGUGGAAGCGGUGAUGGCUCUUUCGUUGGUCCAUUGGUAGUGAUUCUGAGCCAUGUCUUCAAUCAAAGCAUAAGCCUCCGUGUAGUUCUUAUUCAUUAGUGCUCCACCUGCAGCUGCAUCAACAGACAUCUUAGUGGUAUAUGUUAAGCCAUUAUAAAAAGUGUGGACUAUGAGCCACUUUUCCAAACCAUGGUGGGGACAAAGUCUAACCAUUUCCUUGAAACGCUCCCACGCAUCAUAGAGAGACUCCCCAUCUUUUUGGUUGAACCGCAUGAUUUGGUCUCUUAGUUUGGCGGUUUUAGAAGGGGGAAAGAAUCGGGCAAGGAAUGCUCGCCUCAUUUGAUCCCAUGAAGUGAUGGAACCGACUUCUAGGGAAUGGAACCAAGCGCUAGCUCUAUCCCUUAAGGAAAAGGGAAAGAGAUGAAGUCUUAUGGCUUCUUGGUUCUCUUUUAUAGUGCCACUGAGUCUAAGGAAGGAAGAAAUAUGGAGAUUUGGAUCCUCAGUGGGUGAUCCAGAAAACUGAUUUUGCUGCACCAAAUUGAGUAGUGCAGGCUUGAUCUCGAAGUUGUUACCCUCAACCGUUGGGUACACGAUAAUAGCUUGUGGCUCCUCCGUUGAAGGAGUUGCAUACUCUUUGAGAGUGCGUUCAGCCAUAGCAGUAUUAUUUUGUGCCUCUCUCUUUUUCUUAUGCUAAUAUCUUUCGAUCUCAGGGAUAAAUUCUCCGAGACUUUUACUUCUUCGCAUAAGAAAUCGAGAACCCAAGAAGUUAAUGGUAAUACAAAGAAAGAAAGAAGUAGAAGAAAAGAGGGAGAAGAAGGAGUUCUAAUCAAAAAGAAAGAGUUAAUUAAAUUAGUUUACUCCCCGGCAGCGGCGCCAAAAACUUGAUGGGAUAAAACCGCAAGUGUACGGUCUUACCGAAGUAGUAUGAAAAUAGUAUCGUUCCGACAGGGAGUAGUUUAAUUCAAUUAACCUUUGAUGAUGAUUAGAGGAGAAAAGAGUUGUAAGUUGGGGUUUUCAAGCGAUUGAAAAGUAAUAAUAUAAAAGGAGCCUUGGGAUCGUCGGUUCAUCCAAAUGACAAGUCCUUCCCAAACCAAACUAUAAGCUUAUAACGUUAUGUUAGACCUAAUUUCUCAAGACAGUUUCUCUUUUGUUCCUUUAGCAACCAAGCCUAUUUCGCUGACUUGAUUACUAUUAGAUUUUGGUUCCUCUAACAACCAAGCCUAUUUCGCUGACUUGAUUAUUAUUAGUUCCCUUGAAGAUCGAAACUAUAUGUCUCAAAGAUUGCAAAGACUAUUUCGCUGCCUUUGCAAUCCUUGUCUAAAUUCACUUGUUCGAAUGUCAAAGCUCCACUUUCGUUUUAUGAAUUGAUAUUUGAGAUGAUGGAUGAACAAUUAUCAAACCCUCCACUUUCGUUUCCACAGUUUGAUAAUGGUUGAUCCAUGUUUAAGCGGUGAAUUUAGAUAAGAAAUUAGGGUUACAUAAGAUUAAGGCUUAGAGCUUGGUUUGAUUAGGAUUAGGUCAUUUAGACUUAUCCAACAAUCCCAAGACAAGGAGAAGUCUACUCACUCAUGUUCAUCGUAGACAUGGGGGAGAAGAGAGAAAGCAUAAAAGUAAAUGACAAGAAAAUAAAGGAAAAGAAAAGAACUUUAACUAGAAAAGCAAUUGUCACUUCUUGAAUUCCAAGUAAAGAUGAAUAUUUGUGAUGGCUAGCUACUCUAUUUAUAGCAUACAUUCGACUUAAAAUCUAAGCAAUUACAUUACUGGAAUGUUCCACAAGAAACUGCGGGCUAAAAUAGAGUAGCUUAAAAUCUAAGCAAAAGCAGCAAAAGUGACUCUGGAGGGUGGCACGGCCGUGCCAAUGCUAGCACGGGCCGUGCAAAGCUUCUGACUUUGGGGAGAUAUAUUUUUGUCUCUCAAUCUUUGUAUUUUCGCACUGAAUCAGCUCCAAGUCUCUUUCUUUUGCUCCAAGAUUCAAUCCAUCCAAUAUUCUUUCCUGAAAUAAAUUAGAAUGCAAUUUGUAGUAAACUAUCCUAAAAAGAAAAUAAUACUAAUAUAAAAUAAAAUAAAAUCUAAUUAAAAUUAAACUAAAUAACAUAUAAAAAUAGGUAAUAAAUGACUCAUCAGUGGUUCAUAAACAAACAUAUUAUCGCGGAGAACUAAAUGAACUGAAAUUUGUGCAAAGUACUCAUUUCCUAUUCAAGUAGAACCUAGAAAAACUGGAAACUUGUACCUUGGCUUUGCGCUUUAUCACAAACUAGCUAUCAUUAUCAAUCAUCUGAGAAUUUUUCUUAAGUUUUGGCUAUCUUUCAAGCACUUUGAAAUUUGAAGCUUUGAGCAUUUUCUUUUCAAUAAGCAAGAGUGAUACAAAAACAAAACUUCCAUAAUUUUCAAAAUGAAACUACAUGAAGUACUUAAUAACACAAAAAAAAAAACAAAAAUACGAAUACGAAAUACGAAAAUACCAUAAUAAUUAAACAAAUUGUUAAUUAAACAAAGUAAGUCAUUGUGCGAAAUGAAACUAUAACAACUGAAGCAAAUAUUGUUCAAGAGUAACAUAAAAGAAAGCAAUUAAAAGAUGAAGGGGAAGGAAAGAAUUGACUGAAAGCUUAAAAGAUAUCACUCAUUAAGGUUGAGCUUUCAAGUCUAUUCUCUUCCUCCUCAUCUUUGCAUGUCAUCAUCUGAUCCAUUUUGAGUUGAAGUAGCACUUGGAACUCUGUCGGGAUUGUAACGCCCACUUUUGUUAAUUGUUUAUUUAAUCGAGUUUAGGCGAUUAUAUUAUAUUUAUAUAAUAUAUGCAUGAUUUUGGUAUGAUUUGAAUGAUUUACGACUAUAUUGAUGGUUUGGCUGAUAUUGUGAUAAGUUAUGAGUUUUGGAAGAUUUGAUAAGAUUAAGGGAUUUAUUUUAUUGUUAAAUAAAAUAAAGAUUUGAAAAUAAUAUAAAAUAUUUAGUUGAGGGCUGUUUUGAUAUUUUAGAUAGUUUUGAGGGAGAAAGUGAGAUAAGAUAAGUAAAUAAGAGGAGAUAUAAAAGAGUUAGACCUAGUUUUAGAAAAACAUUGUUGUACGUACGUUUUUGGAGAAAAAGGGAGAAAAAGCCAAGAGAAGAGAAACCAAGAGGGAGAGCUGCGAUUUUCUGCAAAUUAAGGUAAGGGUGAGACUAAUAACUCUGUAUUGUUAAUUGAAUGUAAUUCUGAUGAUUAGUUAGCAAGAAUUAGGAUUGAAUUGGAGAAAACGAAAACUAGGUCAAAUCCCUAAAAUUGAUGAUUAAACGGUAGGAAUUGAUUAAAUUGGUGUAGAAAGUGUUCCUGGACCUUAGAUAAUGUUUAGGACAAACUUUGGAAUCAAUACUAGGCUUAGAACCAUGUGAAUCGUCGGAUUUUUGUGAAAAUAGGAAGCCUGGCCGUAGCGACAUUCAUCGCUCGCCACGGCGAGCUAUGAACCUCGCCUCGCGAGUGAUGAUCUUCAUCGGUCGCCACGCGAGCCUUUCCCUUCGCCUCGCGAGUUCUUUUGGUAUUACUCGCCAUAGCGAGCAACCUUACUCGCCAUAGCAAGCUAAGGCAGAGAGCAUGUUGGAUUUUGUAAUUUCGACAUUUUAGUUGGACCUUGAGUGCCUUUGAGUGCCUGAACAUACCUAGUAAUGAAUAGGGAUGAAUGUAGGAAAAGAUUGAACCCAGAACAGCAUUAGUUUGGAACUUGUCUUGUACUCGCCAUGGCGAGUAAGAAUUCUCGCCUCGCGAGCACUUCCAGGUUGGAGUGUCUUGAGUGUUUGUGCGAUCUGUGUCGCACGUUUGGAUCAAGAGUGAACCCCCUUAUGGUAAUUGAGACCAAUGAUGACGUUUAAUGCAGUCUGUAAAGCUGUUUAAGAUAUGUUGAUGUUAAUUGAGCAUGAGUUAAUGUAUUAAACAUUAUGUAAGAUAUAAUGAAAUGUUAUGAUGCUAUUGAAUUGCAAUUGAUAUAUUGAUAUCUCCCUGUUGUUGUGUGACUUGACUGUGCUACUGCCGUUAUUUAACUAAGUGCAUAAUGUCUAUAUAUAUGAUGAAAUGAUGACGUUUAGCUCCAAAUUAUUGGAUGCAUAUUGAUAUGUUGAUUACGGUGAUUUGUUCAUAAGAGUCCAUGCAUUAGCAUUCAUUGAGCUUAGUCCUCACCACGAUUUAUUAGGAGCUUUGUCCUCCGCACGAUUUAUUAAGAGCUUUGUCCUCCGCACGUUUAAAGUAUAUUAAUACUUAUGAUGACGAUUGGUACCACAUGCAUAUAAGGAGUCUAAGAGCAUUGUCACAUUGUCAUGUCUAUAAUGCUAUGUUGUUGAUGACGAUUGAAUACGUGAUACUUGUUUAUUGAAUGUGCAAAGUUGUCUAUGAUUGAUGAUGUGAUUACGUGAUAAUUGUUUAUCAAAUAUGCAAAGUUACUUAAGAUUGAUUAUGAUGUUAAUGUUAAUUAUGAUUCGAAUUACUUUGAUUAACAUUAUUUUGUUAUGAAAUCUCACCCCUUCUGCUUGAAAAUGUUGCCCUUCGUAUGGGUAACUUGCAGGUGAUCGUGCUUAGUGUGCAGUUUCCGUCGUGAGUGGCCUUGCCUUCACUGUGUCGUCUAGGUCGCUCUGAUACGUAACGGGAUGGGGCUAUAUGUUAUGCAUGCUUCGUUCUAUUACGUGAAUAAUAUGCUAUUGUGAUAUUGAACUAACUCUUUUGAGAUUAUUUUGAUGGGGCCUGCGUGCCAAAACGUUUUUAUGACUAUGAUAUAAUUUCCGCUGCAAUGAUUAAGAUAUUUGGUUAAAUUAUUAUUUAACUGUUUUGGAUUAUGUUAUAUGUGAUAUCCCAUUUUUUAUGAUGCUUACUCUGAUAAAUGAUUUAAGAAAUUUGUAUAUUGGGAAAACGGGGUGUUACAGGGAUCAUCCGGAUCAUCUUGGUCAAUGCCUUCUUCAUUUCCAUCACCAUUAUCAUCUUCAGCCACCUCAUCAUUACCUGCAUAGAAACCACCCCUUCCAUAAGGACCUGGCAUGUCCUCGGACCAAUUCACAUAAGCCUGGAAAGCUGGAGGUGUAACGCCCACUUUCGUUUAAUCGUUUAUUUAAUCGAGUUUAGGUGAUUAUAUUAUAAUUAUAUAAUAUAUGCAUGAUUUUGGUAUGUUUUGAUGAUCUAUGAUGAUUUGAUCGAUGACGUGAUGAGUUAUGAGUUUUGGAAGAUUUGAUAAGGAUAUGAGAAUUAUUUUAUUGUUAAAUAAAAUAAAGAUUUGAAAAUAAUAUAAAAUAUUUAGUUAAGGGCUGUUUUGAUAUUUUAGAUAGUUUUGGGGGAGAAAGUGAGAUAAGAUAAGUAUUUAAGAAGAGGUAUAUAUAGGUUAGACCUAGUUUUAGAAAAACAUUGUACGUACGACUGUUUUGGAGAAAAAGCCAAGUCUAGAGAAACCAAGGAAGAGUGCUGCGAUUUUCUUCAAACAAGGUAAGGGUGAGACUAAUAAUUCAAUAAUGUUGAUUGCUGUGAUUCUGAUGAUUAAAUGGCAAAGUUAGGAUUGUUUUAGAAAAGUUUGGAAAUUAGGUCAAAACCCUAAAAAUUGAUGAUCGAAUGGUAAAACUUGUUUAAAUUGAUGUAGAAAUCGUCCUUUAACCUUAGAACAUGUUUAGGAUGGAUUAUGGAAUCAAAAUUAGGCUUUGAACCGUGUUAUUUGAUGGAUUUUCGAGAAAACCCGUAGUCUGCCCGCGCUUCUGUUCAUCGCUCGCCACGGCGAAUGAUGAUCCUCGCCUCGCGAGUUGUUUGGUACAACUCGCCAUGGCGAGCAACCCUUCCUCGCCUCACGAGCUUAGGCAUAGAGCAUGUCAUAUUUUGUGUUUCGACCUUUUUAGUUGGACCUUGAGUGCCUUUGAGUUCCUGAACAUGCCUAGUAUUGAUUAGGAAUGAAUGUAGGAUCAGAGGGAACCUAGAACAAGUUUAUUUUGGGAGUUGAGUGGUACUCGCCAUGGCGAGUAAGAACUUUCGCCUCGCGAGCACAGCCAGGAUGCAGUUGCUGGUGUGUUUGUGCGAUCUGAGUCGCACGUGUUGAUCUAGAGUGAACCCCUAACUACUAAUAAGACCUAAUGAUGACGUUUAAUGCAGUCUGUAGAGUUGUUUAAGUUAUGUUGAUACAAUUGGACAUGAACUAAUGUAUUGUAUAUUCAUGCAAGAUAUGAAAGCUUGAUAAUGAUGCAAUUUAUGUGCUAUUGAUAUAAUGAUAUCAUCUCGUUUAUGUGACCUGUUUAUGCUGCUUCCGUUAUUUAACUAAGUGCAUAAGUAUAUGAUGAAGUUAGCUCCAAAUUAUUGGAUGCAUGUUGAUAUGUUGAUUACGAUGUUUUGUUCAUAAGUGUCCAUGCAUAGCAUCUCAUUGAGCUUAGUCCUCACCACGAAUAUUAGGAGCUUUGUCCUCCGCACGUUUUAUAGGAGCUUUGUCCUCCGCACGAUUAAAGUAUAUUAAUACUUAUGAUGACGAUUGGUACCACAUGCAUAUAAGGAGUCUAAGAGCAUUGUCACAUUGUCAUGAUUAAGAUACCUUAUUGAUAAUGAUUGAUUACGUGAUUAUGUGAUAAGUGUUUAUCGAAUACGUUAUGUUGUUCAUGAUAAUUGGAUAUAUGAUUAUGUUAUAACUGUUUAGCAAUUAUGCAAUGUUAUUUAAGGAAUGAUUAUGAUGUUAAUUUAUGAUUCGCAAUUACAUUGAUUAAUGUUAUUUGAUUAUGAAAUUUCACCCCUUCUGCUUGAAAAUGUUGCCCUUCGUAUGGGUAACUUGCAGGUGAUCGUGCUUAGUGUGCAGUUGUCGUAGUGAGUGGCCUUGCCUUCUCUGUGUCGUCUAGGUCGCUCUGAUACGUAACGGGAUGGGGUUAUAUGCUAUAACAUGCUUCAUUCUUUUACGUGAACUGCUAUGAUAAUUUCUGUUUUGAUUAACUCUUUUGAGAUACUUUAUUGGGGCCUGCGUGCCAAACUGAUUUAUGGUUUAUGAACUAAUAUUCCGCUGCUAUGUUAAGAUAUUAUGUGGAAGUUAAAUUAUUAUUUAACUGUUUUCGGAUUACGUUCCUAUGUGAUAUCCCGUUUAUGGUUUUUACUCUGAUAAAUGUUUAAGAAAUUUGUAUAUUGGGAAAACGGGGUGUUACAAUUGGUAUCAGAGCAGGUCGGUCCGUCCGGUCAAUUAGAGAGUCGUGUCGAGUCUUAGUAAUAUUUAUAUUACUAUCUUAUGUUGUUGUUGUUGUUGUUGUUGCUACUUUUGUAGAAUAUCAGGAAUGGCUGGAAGAAACGAUGCUGCGUUAGCUGCUGCUCUACAAGCUGUUGCCCAAGCUGUGGGACAACAACCUAACACAAAUGCUGGUGCGAAUGCUGAAGCUAGGAUGUUGGAGACUUUCAUGAAGAAGAACCCUCCAACUUUCAAAGGACGUUAUGACCCUGAUGGAGCCCAGACGUGGCUUAAGGAGAUUGAGAGGAUUUUCCGGGUUAUGCAGUGCACUGAGGAUCAGAAAGUGCGGUUUGGUACUCAUCAGCUAGCCGAGGAAGCUGAUGACUGGUGGGUUGCUCUUUUGCCUACCCUUGGGCAGGAGGGAGCUGUUGUGACUUGGGCUGUUUUCAGGAGAGAGUUCCUGAGAAGAUACUUUCCGGAAGAUGUUCGUGGGAAGAAGGAGAUCGAGUUCCUUGAGUUGAAGCAAGGAAACAUGUCUGUGACAGAGUAUGCUGCCAAGUUCGUGGAACUGUCAAAGUUCUACCCGCACUAUACUGCUGAGAAUGCUGAGUUCUCGAGAUGCAUCAAGUUCGAGAACGGUUUGAGGCCCGACAUCAAGAGGGCAAUUGGGUACCAACAGCUGAGAGUUUUUCCAGAUUUGGUCAAUAGCUGCAGGAUCUAUGAAGAGGAUACGAAGGCUCACUACAAGGUAGUGAAUGAGAGGAAGGGCAAGGGACAGCAGAGUCGUCCUAAGCCGUACAGUGCCCCUGCUGAUAAAGGGAAACAGAAGAUGGUCGAUGUUAGGCGGCCUAAGAAGAAGGAUGCUGCAGAGAUUGUGUGUUUCAAUUGUGGUGAGAAAGGCCACAAAAGCAACGUCUGCCCUGAGGAAAUCAAGAAGUGUGUCCGGUGUGGCAAGAAAGGUCAUGUUGUAGCUGAUUGCAAUCGUACGGACAUUGUGUGUUUUAACUGCAAUGGAGAGGGUCGCAUUAGUUCACAGUGUACUCAGCCUAAGAGGGCGCCGACUACUGGUAGAGUCUUUGCUUUGACUGGUACUCAGACAGAUAACGAGGAUCGUUUGAUCAGAGGUACUUGCUAUAUUAAUAAUACUCCUUUAGUUGCUAUUAUUGAUACUGGUGCUACGCAUUGUUUUAUUGCUUUCGAUUGUGUUUCUGCUUUGGGUCUUGAUUUGUCUGAUAUGAAUGGAGAGAUGGUUGUCGAAACUCCAGCUAAGGGUUCGGUGACUACUUCUCUCGUAUGUUUGAAAUGUCCUUUGUCUAUGUUUGGUCGUGAUUUCGAAAUGGAUUUAGUUUGUCUACCUUUGAGCGGUAUGGAUGUGAUUCUGGGUAUGAACUGGUUAGAGUACAACCACGUUCUUAUUAAUUGUUUUAGCAAGUCAGUGCAUUUCUCUUCCGUCGAAGAGGAAAGUGGUGCAGAGUUUUUAUCUACUAAGCAGCUGAAGCAACUGGAACGCGACGGUAUCUUGAUGUUUUCGUUAAUGGCUACCUUAUCUACUGAGAAUCAAGCAGUGAUUAAUAGGUUACCUGUGGUGUGUGAAUUUCCUGAAGUUUUUCCGGGUGAGAUUCCAGAUGUGCCUCCAGAGAGAGAAGUUGAGUUUUCUAUUGAUCUUGUUCCUGGAACGAAGCCGGUCUCGAUGGCACCUUAUCGUAUGUCUGCUUCCGAGUUAUCUGAGUUGAAGAAACAGUUGGAGGACUUGCUUGAGAAGAAGUUUGUUAGACCAAGUGUUUCACCUUGGGGAGCGCCGGUUUUGUUAGUAAACAAGAAAGAUGGUAGUAUGCAGUUAUGUAUUGAUUAUCGGCAUUUGAACAAGGUAACUAUCAAGAAUAGGUAUCCACUUCCGAGAAUUGAUGAUUUGAUGGAUCAGUUAGUGGGUGCACGUGUUUUUAGCAAGAUUGAUUUGAGGUCAGGUUAUCACCAGAUUAAAGUAAAGGAUGAAGAUAUGCAGAAGACAGCUUUCAGAACGCGUUAUGGUCACUAUGAAUAUAAAGUUAUGCCUUUUGGUGUUACCAAUGCACCUGGAGUGUUUAUGGAGUAUAUGAAUCGCAUCUUCCAUGCAUUUUUGGAUCGGUUUGUGGUUGUGUUUAUCGACGAUAUUUUGAUUUACUCCAAGACUGAAGAAGAACAUGCUGAGCAUCUGAAGAUUGUUUUGCAAGUGUUGAAAGAGAAGAAGCUUUAUGCUAAAUUGUCUAAGUGUGAAUUCUGGUUGAAAGAAGUGAGUUUUCUAGGCUAUGUUAUUUCUGGUGAUGGUAUUGCAGUGGAUCCGUCUAAAGUUGAAGCGGUAUCACAGUGGGAGACUCCUAAGUCAGUUACUGAGAUUAGAAGUUUCUUGGGUUUAGCUGGUUACUAUAGAAGGUUUAUUGAAGGGUUUUCUAAGUUAGCUCUUCCGCUAACGCAGUUGACUUGUAAAGGUAAAACUUUUGUGUGGGACGUCCAUUGUGAGAACAGUUUCGGUGAAUUGAAGAAGCGUUUGACGAAUGCUCUAGUGUUAUUUUUGCCGAAGUCAGAUGAACCUUUUGUGGUAUAUUGUGAUGCGUCCAAGUUGGGUUUAGGAGGUGUACUUAUGCAAGAAGGUAAAGUGGUAGCUUAUGCUUCAAGACAGUAGAGAAUUCAUGAGAAGAAUUAUCCUACGCAUGAUCUCGAGUUGGUGGCCGUAGUCUUUGUAUUGAAGAUAUGGAGACAUUACUUGUAUGGUUCGAGAUUUGAGGUGUUUAGUGAUCACAAGAGUUUGAAGUAUUUGUUCGAUCAGAAGGAAUUGAAUAUGAGACAGCGAAGAUGGCUUGAAUUGUUGAAAGAUUAUGACUUUGGUUUGAAUUAUCAUCCAGGUAAAGCUAAUGUUGUUGCAGAUGCCUUGAGUAGGAAGACAUUGCAUAUGUCCGCUAUGAUGGUCAGAGAGUUCGAAUUGCUUGAACAGUUUAGAGAUAUGAGUUUGGUUUGCGAAUGGUCACCUCAGAGUGUGAAACUGGGUAUGCUGAAGAUUGAUAGUGAAUUCCUGAAAAGUAUCAAGGAAGCACAGAAAGUUGAUGUAAAGUUUGUGGACUUGUUGGUUGCUAGAGAUCAGACUGAAGACAGUGAUUUUAAAAUCGAUGAUCAAGGUGUGUUGAGAUUCCGAGGAAGAAUUUGUAUCCCAGACAAUGAAGAGAUUAAGAAGAUGAUUCUUGAAGAGAGUCAUAGAAGUAGCUUGAGUAUUCACCCGGGAGCUACGAAGAUGUAUCAUGAUUUAAAUAAGAUUUUCUGGUGGUCUGGUUUGAAACGAGAUGUGGCACAGUUUGUGUAUUCCUGUUUAGUUUGCCAGAAAUCGAAAGUUGAGCAUCAGAAACCUGCUGGAAUGAUGGUACCUUUAGAUGUGCCGGAAUGGAAGUGGGAUAGUAUAUCCAUGGAUUUUGUGACGAGUUUGCCAAAUACUCCUAGAGGGAACGACGCAAUUUGGGUUAUUGUUGAUAGAUUGACGAAGUCGGCUCAUUUUCUACCGAUUAAUAUUAGUUUCCCUGUUGCCCAGUUGGCGGAGAUUUAUAUCAAGGAGAUCGUGAGGUUGCAUGGUGUUCCUUCGAGCAUUGUGUCAGAUAGAGAUCCAAGAUUUACUUCUAGAUUUUGGAAAAGUUUGCAAGAGGCUUUGGGUUCGAAGUUGAGGUUGAGUUCGGCAUAUCAUCCGCAGAAAGAUGGUCAGUCGGAGAGGACAAUUCAGUCGCUAGAGGAUUUGUUCAGAAUUUGUGUUCUUGAGCAAGGAGGAACUUGGGAUAGUCAUCUUCCGUUGAUCGAGUUCACAGACAAUAAUAGUUAUCAUUCAAGUAUUGGAAUGGCACCUUUCGAGGCUUUAUAUGGUCGGAGAUGCAGAACUCCGUUGUGCUGGUUUGAGUCAGGUGAAAGAGUGGUCUUAGGACCAGAGAUUGUUCAGCAGACUACUGAGAAAGUCCGGAUGAUCCAAGAGAAAAUGAAGGCGUCGCAGAAUCGACAAAAGAGUUAUCAUGAUAAGCGUAGAAAAGAUCUUGAGUUUCAAGAAGGAGACCACGUGUUUUUGAGAGUCACUCCUAUGACUGGUGUAGGACGUGCUUUGAAGUCAAAGAAGUUGACCCCGAAGUUCAUUGGUCCGUAUCAGAUAUUGGAAAGAGUUGGAACGGUGGCUUACCGAGUGGGUUUACCGCCGCAUCUUUCGAAUUUGCACAACGUUUUCCAUGUGUCGCAACUUCGGAAGUAUGUUCCGGAUCCAUCUCAUGUAAUCCAAAGUGACGAUGUGCAAGUUAGAGACAACCUUACGGUAGAGACUUUACCGGUGAGGAUUGAUGAUCGUAAAGUGAAGACGUUGAGAGGCAAGGAGAUACCUCUCGUGAGAGUCGUUUGGACGGGAGCGACUGGUGAAAGCUUGACGUGGGAGCUUGAGAGUAAGAUGCUGGAGUCUUAUCCAGAGUUGUUUGCUUGAGGUAAAUUUUCGAGGACGAAAAUCUUUUAAGUGGGGGAGAGUUGUAACGCCCACUUUCGUUUAAUCGUUUAUUUAAUCGAGUUUAGGUGAUUAUAUUAUAAUUAUAUAAUAUAUGCAUGAUUUUGGUAUGUUUUGAUGAUCUAUGAUGAUUUGAUCGAUGACAUGAUGAGUUAUGAGUUUUGGAAGAUUUGAUAAGGAUAUGAGAAUUAUUUUAUUGUUAAAUAAAAUAAAGAUUUGAAAAUAAUAUAAAAUAUUUAGUUAAGGGCUGUUUUGAUAUUUUAGAUAGUUUUGGGGGAGAAAGUGAGAUAAGAUAAGUAUUUAAGAAGAGGUAUAUAUAGGUUAGACCUAGUUUUAGAAAAACAUUGUACGUACGACUGUUUUGGAGAAAAAGCCAAGUCUAGAGAAACCAAGGAAGAGUGUUGCGAUUUUCUUCAAACAAGGUAAGGGUGAGACUAAUAAUUCAAUAAUAUUGAUUGCUGUGAUUCUGAUGAUUAAAUGGCAAAGUUAGGAUUGUUUUAGAAAAGUUUGGAAAUUAGGUCAAAACCCUAAAAAUUGAUGAUCGAAUGGUAAAACUUGUUUAAAUUGAUGUAGAAAUCGUCCUUUAACCUUAGAACAUGUUUAGGAUGGAUUAUGGAAUCAAAAUUAGGCUUUGAACCGUGUUAUUUGAUGGAUUUUCGAGAAAACCCGUAGUCUGCCCGCGCUUCUGUUCAUCGCUCGCCACGGCGAGGGAUGAUCCUCGCCUCGCGAGUGAUGAACUUCAUCGCUCGCCACACGAGCCCUUUCCCUUCGCCUCGCGAGUUGUUUGGUACAACUCGCCAUGGCGAGCAACCCUUCCUCGCCUCACGAGCUUAGGCAGAGAGCAUGUCAUAUUUUGUGUUUCGACCUUUUUAGUUGGACCUUGAGUGCCUUUGAGUGCCUGAACAUGCCUAGUAUUGAUUAGGAAUGAAUGUAGGAUCAGAGGGAACCCAGAACAAGUUUAUUUUGGGAGUUGAGUGGUACUCGCCAUGGCGAGUAAGAACUAUCGCCUCGCGAGCACAGCCAGGAUGCAGUUGCUGGUGUGUUUGUGCGAUCUGAGUCGCACGUGUUGAUCUAGAGUGAACCCUGUAACACCCCGUUUUCCCAACAUAAAAAUUUCCUAAAUUAAUCAGAGUAAAACCCCUUAAACGGAAUGUUACACUUCUUUUCUUAAAAAUCACAAAUGGAAUAAUUAGAUAAUUAUCCUUCAAAUUUCAACAACGUAAUAAUUAAAACUUUGCAGCGGAAUUAAUUUAACGACAAUAAAAGCUUCAACAACAUGUUCCAAAAUUGAUACAUAAAGGAAUGAUAAACUUAGCAACAAUUUCCCAUCCCGUUACGUAUCAGAGCCCUAAGACACUUGAGCCACCACUCCUACUAAACUUUAAUACCUGCAAGUUACCCAUACGAAGGACAACAUUUUCAAGCAGAAGGGGUGAGAUUCACAAUCAAUAAUAAUAAUAUAUAAUUCAUCAAAUGCACCUAACAACUUAAACUCCAUCAAUUAGUAAUAAUAAUUCUUUUAACGACUCCUAAACCAUAUCAUGUACUCAUCAUAUCAACAGUCAUAACUCGAUAUCAUAAACAAUCAUCAUAACAGCAUCAUUUAACUUCAUAAUCAACAUCUUAAUCAUAAUCAUAUAACAUCAUACUCAUAAUUCGUAUACAACAUGACAACUUUAUAAUCAAUGACAUAAACAACGUAACAACAUCAUAUUCAUAGUUCAUAUACACAUAACAACAUCAUUAAUUCGUAUUAACAUUCUCCACUAAGCACCUUAUUAACAACUCAUGAAUAGGGGACAACUUAGCAACUAUACGUAACAUCAUUAUUUCAUAAUAAUAAUUAUUCAUCAAACAUUCCAUUAGCAAUUCAUGAAUAAAAGACAACUUAUCAACGUAACAUAACCAUCAUCAAAUACAUUUAACAACUCAUAGAUAACAUCACAUAAUCAUCAUCACAACAUUCAUAAUCAUCAUCAUGUAACAUUUAACAACUCAUAGAUAACAUCACAUAAUCAUCAUCACAACAUUCAUAAUCAUCAUCAUGUAACAUCAUAACAACCUCAUAUUCAACACCAUAAACAGUCAUCAUAACAUCGUAAUCAAUAUCAUAAACAUCUUCUCAUAAUAUUAUAAACGACACAACAUAAUCAUCACAAUAUAAACAACUACAUAUAUUUUACAAUAAUGUUCUUACUCCUUUAACUUUAGUAACAGUUACUAAUUCAACCAACAACGACGAUAACUACAAUUAUCCAAUAUAUGUAUAUAUUUCAUAAUGAACAAUAUCAUCAAUAAUAGAUAUCUAACUCAUCAAUUAAAUCUAACACCCUGUCAUAAUAACAAUUCAUCAAUAUAUAAGUAUAUCAUCAUUAACAACAUCAACCAAAUGAUAAUUAAAACCAACAACAACGACUCAUGCAACAACUCGACACCACCGCUAAGACUCAUGCAAGACAUGACAACUCCACUAAGACUCCUCAACAAAUGCAACUAUGCAUGUGGUACCAUAUCAGAGCCGAAGCCCUCAUCGUUAUAGAAUGGUUAAAGCAUUCUUUUAUCAGGACAUGAGUCCUCAUCGUUAACAUCGUUUUGAACAACAUAGUGUUCCAUCGUUUUGAACGACAAGGCGUUCCAGGACCGAGGUCCUCAUCGUUUUUAUGCUUAUGCAACUGACUCCACUUGUGUAUAUCUACAUACAACUCAAAAACAAAUGCAUAUGUACUUAUAUGACUCACCACCCUUUAAUGCAACUGACUCCACUUGUGUAUAUCUACAUACAACUCAACAACAUCAACGACAACCACUACUCAUCAAUGCAUAUAUGUAAAUAUGACUUCACCUCGACAAUCCAAUUAAUAAUACUUCAACCUUUGAAAAGAAUUCAGCAACAUGUAUAAUUUAUUUAAAUAUAAAUAUACACCACAGUCAACAAUAAUCCAUCAUAAUUGAUCCAACGAUUUCAGAAAAUACACAAUUAAUCAUCUCCAGAUUCACUAAACUCAACAACGACAACAUAGGCAGCACAUAAACAUCUCAAGAUAUAACAAUAUCAAAUGAUAAUCAAUAUCAACUUAAACAUCUUAUAUAAUCCACAUAACGAAUAUAUUUCACAUUAACCAACAUUACCCAACAUUAGGUUAAAUACUCUUAAACACCUUAAUUUCACUCAUAUUACUUUUAGUUUUGAGCCUUGGAAUUAUCCCAUAAGUUUUGGAUUAACUUGGAAAUGGUUGUGCUGAAUUUUCAUAAGAUUUCCCUAAGACCUACUUGGAGUAUUUUCAUCAUAACUCCUAAACCAAAAAUCAUUUUAGAGUCAAACCAAAGCCAUUGGAAAGCUAACAAAAUUAUCUAAAACUUCCAUGUUUACACCCAAGUCCAAUUCAAAACAGAAACGUGUGAAAAAGACACAAGAACGCGAAAUAAGGAAUGCUGUCAAAAGGCAUUUCGCUUAAGCGAACGGUGCUUCGCUUAAGCGAACUACUUACAAUAGCUGUUCGCUUACAUCUCGCUUCCGGCUCGCUUAAGCGAACAGUCAUCGUUUCUGCAUAAUUUUUCACGGGUUUAACCCAUUUUUCACCCCAAAACUCCCAAUUUUGAUCUCCCAAUGCCCAAACAUGUUUCCAAAGAUUGUUUAUAAGUUCAUUAUACAAUUAGGCAUCUAAAGGAACAUAAAACAUGCAUCAACAACAACAAUUCAUCUCAUUCUCACAAUCUUGCAAUUUCCCCCAAUUUUCCUCCAACAAUCCUAACCUCUCCAAAUUCGGAUUACAGCAACAUUAUAAUUCCUAAAAUCAAUCUGAAUAUGAAUUCUAAGCAUAAUUAACAUGAAUUCUUACUCUUUUCUUCCAAAAUCAGUAUAGAACCCUAAUUCCCAAAUUCUUAUUUUUCAAGAACAAUUCUAAUCAAAACAAUUUUCAGAAACCAUAUAUUAUAAUCAUUGAAGGUUAGUCUCACCCUUACCUUAAUUUAGAAGAAAACGCACGAACAAUCUACAGCAAAAACGAUCAUCUCUUGCUCUAGCUCUCCCUUUGGCUUGGUUUUCUCUCCCAAAACUUGUUUCACGUAAAACUGCUUCUGACCUUUUCCUUUCCUAACUCCCAAAACUAUAACUUCCCCUUUUUCAUUAAACUCCCUUAAUUUUUAUUAGAUCCUAAUUAACUCCCACACUCCAAAAUAAUUCUAUUUCUCCACUUAUUCUAUUAAAUAAUGAAAAUAACCAUUUAAUAAAAUACAUCACACCACAAAAUCAACAUAAAUCAUUUAAAAUCAUAUAAAAGACUUUAAAUCAACUAAAAAUAAUUAAAUAACAAUUAGGGCGUUACAACUCUACCCCCGUUAAAAGAAUUUCGUCCUCGAAAUUCAAAGCACACAAGAAAAUGAAUUCAAUUAUUGGUUAAAUAUCUUAAACUAUAUAUAGCCAAAUAGAAACUUCAAACAAAACAUACAAACCACAUUAAAGUCAAUCAAUCAAACAUGAUCACAUAAUAAAUAUAACCAUUAAUCAGUAAACACAACGACAAUCAAGACAACGUAAGACAGUAUUACAACUGUUACUCAACAAGACACGACUCAACUACUUGGCCGGACGGACCAACCUGCUCUGAUACCAAUUGUAACACCCCGUUUUCCCAACAUAAAAAUUUCAUAAAUUAAUCAGAGUAAAACACCUUAAACGGAAUGUUACACUUCUUUUCUUAAAAAUCACAAAUGGAAUAAUUAGAUAAUUAUCCUUCAAAUUUCAACAACGUAAUAAUUAAAACUUUGCAGCGGAAUUAAUUUAACGACAAUAAAAGCUUCAACAACAUGUUCCAAAAUUGAUACAUAAAGGAAUGAUAAACUUAGCAACAAUUUCCCAUCCCGUUACGUAUCAGAGCCCUAAGACACUUGAGCCACCACUCCUACUAAACUUUAAUACCUGCAAGUUACUCAUACGAAGGACAACAUUUUCAAGCAGAAGGGGUGAGAUUCACAAUCAAUAAUAAUAAUAUAUAAUUCAUCAAAUGCAUCUAACAACUUAAACUCCAUCAAUUAGUAAUAAUAAUUCUUUUAACGACUCCUAAACCAUAUCAUGUACUCAUCAUAUCAACAGUCAUAACUCAAUAUCAUAAACAAUCAUCAUAACAGCAUCAUUUAACUUCAUAAUCAACAUCUUAAUCAUAAUCAUAUAACAUCAUACUCAUAAUUCGUAUACAACAUGACAACUUUAUAAUCAAUGACAUAAACAACGUAACAACAUCAUAUUCAUAGUUCAUAUACACAUAACAACAUCAUUAAUUCGUAUUAACAUUCUCCACUAAGCACCUUAUUAACAACUCAUGAAUAGGGGACAACUUAGCAACUAUACGUAACAUCAUUAUUUCAUAAUAAUAAUUAUUCAUCAAACAUUCCAUUAGCAAUUCAUGAAUAAAAGACAACUUAUCAACGUAACAUAACCAUCAUCAAGUACAUUUAACAACUCAUAGAUAACAUCACAUAAUCAUCAUCACAACAUUCAUAAUCAUCAUCAUGUAACAUUUAACAACUCAUAGAUAACAUCACAUAAUCAUCAUCACAACAUUCAUAAUCAUCAUCAUGUAACAUCAUAACAACCUCAUAUUCAACAUCAUAAACAGUCAUCAUAACAUCGUAAUCAAUAUCAUAAACAUCUUCUCAUAAUAUUAUAAACGACACAACAUAAUCAUCACAUCAUAACAAUAUAAACAACUACAUAUAUUUUACAAUAAUGUUCUUACUCCUUUAACUUUAGUAACAGUUACUAAUUCAACCAACAACGACGAUAACUACAAUUAUCCAAUAUAUGUAUAUAUUUCAUAAUGAACAAUAUCAUCAAUAAUAGAUAUCUAACUCAUCAAUUAAAUCUAACACCCUGUCAUAAUAAUAAUUCAUCAAUAUAUAAGUAAAUCAUCAUUAACAACAUCAACCAAAUGAUAAUUAAAACCAACAACAACGACUCAUGCAACAACUCGACACCACCGCUAAGACUCAUGCAAGACAUGACAACUCCACUAAGACUCCUCAACAAAUGCAACUAUGCAUGUCGUACCAUAUCAGAGCCGAAGCCCUCAUCGUUAUAGAAUGGUUAAAGCAUUCUUUUAUCAGGACAUGAGUCCUCAUCGUUAACAUCGUUUUGAACAACAUAGUGUUCCAUCGUUUUGAACGACAAGGUGUUCCAGGACCGAGGUCCUCAUCGUUUUUAUGCUUAUGCAACUGACUCCACUUGUGUAUAUCUACAUACAACUCAAAAACAAAUGCAUAUGUACUUAUAUGACUCACCACCCUUUAAUGCAACUGACUCCACUUGUGUAUAUCUACAUACAACUCAACAACAUCAACGACAACCACUACUCAUCAAUGCAUAUAUGUAAAUAUGACUUCACCUCGACAAUCCAAUUAAUAAUACUUCAACCUUUGAAAAGAAUUCAGCAACAUGUAUAAUUUAUUUAAAUAUAAUUAUACACCACAGUCAACAAUAAUCCAUCAUAAUUGAUCCAACGAUUUCAGAAAAUACACAAUUAAUCAUCUCCAGAUUCACUAAACUCAACAACGACAACAUAGGCAGCACAUAAACAUCUCAAGAUAUAACAAUAUCAAAUGAUAAUCAAUAUCAACUUAAACAUCUUAUAUAAUCCACAUAACGAAUAUAUUUCACAUUAACCAACAUUACCCAACAUUAGGUUAAAUACUCUUAAACACCUUAAUUUCACUCAUAUUACUUUUAGUUUUGAGCCUUGGAAUUAUCCUAUAAGUUUUGGAUUAACUUGGAAAUGGUUGUGCUGAAUUUUCAUAAGAUUUCCCUAAGACCUACUUGGAGUAUUUUCAUCAUAACUCUUAAACCAAAAAUCAUUUUAGAGUCAAACCAAAGCCAUUGGAAAGCUAACAAAAUUAUCUAAAACUUCCAUGUUUACACCCAAGUCCAAUUCAAAACAGAAACGUGUGAAAAAGACACAAGAACGCGAAAUAAGGAAUGCUUUCAAAAGGCAUUUCGCUUAAGCGAACGGUGCUUCGCUUAAGCGAACUACUUACAGUAGCUGUUCGCUUACAUCUCGCUUCCGGCUCGCUUAAGCGAACAGUCAUCUUUUCUGCAUAAUUUUUCACGGGUUUAACCCAUUUUUCACCCCAAAACUCCCAAUUUUGAUCUCCCAAUGCCCAAACAUGUUUCCAAAGAUUGUUUAUAAGUUCAUUAUACAAUUAGGCAUCUAAAGGAACAUAAAACAUGCAUCAACAACAACAAUUCAUCUCAUUCUCACAAUCUUGCAAUUUCCCCCAAUUUUCCUCCAACAAUCCUAACCUCUCCAAAUUCGGAUUACAGCAACAUUAUAAUUCCUAAAAUCAAUCUGAAUAUGAAUUCUAAGCAUAAUUAACAUGAAUUCUUACUCUUUUCUUCCAAAAUCAGUAUAGAACCCUAAUUCCCAAAUUCUUAUUUUUCAAGAACAAUUCUAAUCAAAACAAUUUUCAGAAACCAUAUAUUAUAAUCAUUGAAGGUUAGCCUCACCCUUACCUUAAUUUAGAAGAAAACGCACGAACAAUCUACAGCAAAAACGAUCAUCUCUUGCUCUAGCUCUCCCUUUGGCUUGGUUUUCUCUCCCAAAACUUGUUUCACGUAAAACUGCUUCUGACCUUUUCCUUUCCUAACUCCCAAAACUAUAACUUCCCCUUUUUCAUUAAACUCCCUUAAUUUUUAUUAGAUCCUAAUUAACUCCCACACUCCAAAAUAAUUCUAUUUCUCCACUUAUUCUAUUAAAUAAUGAAAAUAACCAUUUAAUAAAAUACACCACACCACAAAAUCAACAUAAAUCAUUUAAAAUCAUAUAAAAGACUUUAAAUCAACUAAAAAUAAUUAAAUAACAAUUAGGGCGUUACAAACCCCUAACUAGUAAUAAGACCUAAUGAUGACGUUUAAUGCAGUAUGUAGAGUUGUUUAAGUUAUGUUGAUACAAUUGGACAUGAACUAAUGUAUUGUAUAUUCAUGCAAGAUAUGAAAGCUUGAUAAUGAUGCAAUUUAUGUGCUAUUGAUAUAAUGAUAUCAUCUCGUUUAUGUGACCUGUUUAUGCUGCUUCCGUUAUUUAACUAAGUGCAUAAGUAUAUGAUGAAGUUAGCUCCAAAUUAUUUGAUGCAUGUUGAUAUGUUGAUUACGAUGUUUUGUUCAUAAGUGCCCAUGCAUAGCAUCUCAUUGAGCAUAGUCCUCACCACGAAUAUUAGGAGCUUUGUCCUCCGCACGUUUUAUAGGAGCUUUGUCCUCCGCACGAUUAAAGUAUAUUAAUACUUAUGAUGACGAUUGGUACCACAUGCAUAUAAGGAGUCUAAGAGCAUUGUCGCAUUGUCAUGAUUAAGAUGCCUUCUUGAUAAUGAUUGAUUAUGUGAUAAGUGUUUAUCGAAUACGUUAUGUUGUUCAUGAUAAUUGGAUAUAUGAUUAUGUUAUAGCUGUUUAGCAAUUAUGCAAUGUUAUUUAAGGAAUGAUUAUGAUGUUAAUUUAUGAUUCGCAAUUACAUUGAUUAAUGUUAUUUGAUUAUGAAAUCUCACCCCUUCUGCUUGAAAAUGUUGCCCUUCGUAUGGGUAACUUGCAGGUGAUCGUGCUUAGUGUGCAGUUGUCGUCGUGAGUGGCCUUGCCUUCUCUGUGUCGUCUAGGUCGCUCUGAUACGUAACGGGAUGGGGUUAUAUGUUAUAACAUGCUUCAUUCUUUUACGUGAACUGCUAUGAUAAUUUCUGUUUUGAUUAACUCUUUUGAGAUACUUUAUUGGGGCCUGCGUGCCAAACUGAUUUAUGGUUUAUGAACUAAUAUUCCGCUGCUAUGUUAAGAUAUUAUGUGGAAGUUAAAUUAUUAUUUAACUGUUUUCGGAUUACGUUCCUAUGUGAUAUCCCGUUUAUGGUUUUUACUCUGAUAAAUGUUUAAGAAAUUUGUAUAUUGGGAAAACGGGGUGUUACAGGAGGUGUCAUGAACUGCCCCAUAACCUCCGGAGGAUACCCUGCUUGCUGCUGCAUCAGAUACUGGGACUACUGGAAGUAUGUAUUUGCUCGGUUAGUGGCGGCCAGUGUAACACCCCGUUUUCUCAAUAUACAAAUUUCUUAAAUCAUUUAUCAGAGUAAGCAUCAUAAUCAACGGGAUAUCACAUAUAACAUAAUCCAAAACAGUUAAAUAAUAAUUUAACCAUAUAUCUUAAUCAUUGCAGCGGAAACUAUAUCAUAGUCAUAAAACGUUUUGGCACGCAAGCCCCAUCAAAGUAAUCUCAAAAGAGUUAGUUCAAUAACACAAUAGCAUAUUAUUCACGUAAUAGAACGAAGCAUGCAUAACAUAUAGCCCCAUCCCGUUACGUAUCAGAGCGACCUAGACGACACAGUGAAGGCAAGGCCACUCACGACGGAAACUGCACACUAAACACGAUCACCUGCAAGUUACUCAUACGAAGGGCAACAUUUUCAAGCAGAAGGGGUGAGAUUUCAUAACAAAAUAAUGUUAAGCAAAGUAAUUCGAAUCAUAAUUAACA